GGGGGGGGGGGGUGGGGGGCUCACCAGCUCCAACCCCUCCCCCUUCCUUUUACAUUUCUUACUCUUUCUUUCCUUUCCCUCUCUUUCCCUUCUCUCCACCCACUAUUUAACUGCCUUUCAUCAAUCUCAAUACGUAUAAGUGUCUUGCUGUGAUAUUUUAUUUAUGGUCUUGCUCUACUUUGCCCAAAUUCUAGGUUCUUCAACUCUUAAUUUACCUUCACAACUUCUAGUCUUUGGAACUAUAUCUUCAUGAAUCUCUCCCUCGCUAUCUCUUUUUCUUUUAUAUUCUAGGUUGCUAGUGCUUGAACUCUAAACGUCUAGUCACUGGAACUAAAAGUCAUGCAAUCUAUCACAGUCCACAUUGUUGUUGGCAAUUAUCUCAUAUAACAAGCAACAGCAGGAUAUUUUCUCAAUCAAUUUCACUUUCUUCUUUAUUGCUGAUGCAAGUUGUGCUCUCCUUGUUUUCCAUCACAUGAUCAAAAUAGAAAGAAAAGCUAUAGUCGAUGAACCAGGGCAUGAUGCAAGAUCCAUGCUUUUCAAAACAAAUUUACCAAAAUAGAAAAUGCAAUCACAUUUUUCAGUCAAUUUUGCUUUUAAUUGAAAAAAUUGCAAACUUAGUCCAAGAGCAACACCUAAGUUAGGUUGGACUGAGGCCAAAGUAAGAACAAAAUAUAUCCAAGAAGCCAAUCUUACUCCAUUUCUAAAUUUUAAUGUUUUAUCCAACAAGUUAGAUGAACUGUGCAGUAAACCCCAAAAUCUCCCAUAGCUCGAAUGUUUCUCUACAACAAUUCCAAUAAGUGUAAUUUUAGGUCCAACGCUCUCUUCCCAAUAUUGAGGUCAUAAAGCAUUACCAGCACAUGCUGGAAUACAGGGACAAGAAAUUACGAAACCCCUUCUCAACGUUGAGAACAACAUGAGGAUAAGGAAAUAGCUUGCAAGGCAAGCUUGAUACUAUACAGCCCAACUAUGAGUGCCAAAUGUGAAGUGAUAAAAAAAUCCGGUUCAUCUUCUUUCCACAUUUUUCUAACAAAAGUCAUUACUAUCUAAAAAGUAAUUUUAUGACGUGAAACAUUUGUAGACAGAAAUAACAGAAGCUUAUUAAAUAAUUUCUUUCAAAUACAAUGAAUAUAUCAGAAACAGUCCAUUGAUUAUGAGAUCAUCCCAACUAAACCACAUCAAAGAAUAUUCUUUUACAUUUUUUUAAUGCCUAAAACUGUGGAUUAUCAUUAGUUUUGAAUUAUUAACAUGUCAAAAUCAUUCCCAUUAAAAGAAAACUACACAUAAAAUAAUCUUCUUUUAGUUUUUUCCAUGUCUAAAUCUUUGUGCCAUGACUGGUAAUAGUCCAGAUCACAAGCUAUACUUGAUAAGAUCUUAGUUUAUCUAGAGUUAGCAAUUGAUCAUUUCAUAAUGCAAAAAAAUCAAGACAUGGAUCCAAAAUUAGCCGUAAUUGACAUUGUCAACCAAAAGGUAAACCAUAACCUAUAAGACAAACUUCAGUAUAGAAUACAAAAUCAAGUCCGUGUUGCAUGAUAAACAACCUUCAAAUAUAACAAACAUCAAUGGAACAUAAAAAACAAAAAUCCCAGUUUUUCAGCACAAAGAUCAAUAUAAAAUAAAGAUAACCAGAAAUUCAAGAAACAAGUAUACUAAAUCUUAUAAACAAGAGUUAGCUAGAACAUCAACUACAGAAAUCAUCCCACCACAAACAUUUAUAAAUACAUAAAUAACCAACCUUUGCAAAAGUAGUAGCUAGAUCAUCCACAUCAGAUAAAGAGCCUAAACCUACAACCUGCAAAUGAAUAACACAGAAAUCAGAACAGAAAUAGUCAUGUUUCAAAAUCCAAAGUAGAGAAAGUUGAAACCAAGGUUUUGAGUUCAGCCUAGUUAUCGUUUACUGAAUAUAGCUGAAGGGAUGAACGGCAAUACCAACAACUAAAAAUUAGAAAUAAGGCAAAAAUAAGAUCAAUGUACAAGAGUGUGGAUAACAAUGACAUAAAAUCCUUGCAAGAUGAAAGAAAUGCAACCAAAAACUAAUAUAAUAGCUGUUGCACUUGAUGCAUGACAAUACAAAUAUAGGAAUCACAUGUUCUGUUAAAGCUUUUUUUUCUGAGUACAUCUUUUUACUUUCACAUAUCCAUUGUCAACAAUUAAGCAACUAUUUUUUUAUCCAAUUCAUUAUUUAAAAAUUCAAGAAAACCAUAGUGUGUUUACAAGCAUAUAUUUGUAGUAAUAUGUUCCAUGCAUGUUAACGCCAUUAAAUGAUCACAUAUCAGGAAGAGAGAGUUCAAUUAGAUAGAUAAAGUAACUAGUUUACAAAUGCAAAACUCAUUUCACCUGGGCAACAAAAUUUAAAAUACAUGCCAAUGAGAAAACCUUGAAACGCAAUUAUUGUCUGACUACCUUAAAUAAGUAGCAAUUUCAAAUUUUGAACUUGACAGAUAUAAUCUGCUUAAUAAAAAUCUAAUUUCCAAAAUGACCACAGAAUAGAACUUUUUAUUGCUAACUGGUGGAGUGUGUAAAACUGAGAUUAAAAGGUACAGAGCAAAAUGUAAGUUCAAAACAUAUUAAGUUAUGAAACAACUUUGGCUCAAAUAAAGAACUCUAAUGCAAAUUAUUGUUUAGAGUCAUAAUUGAUAUCAUGGGAAUGAAAAAAUAGCAGGAGCUGAAAAGCAAUAGAAAAGAAACCAGAGUUGGCCGCUCAAUGAUAACCGAAUGAACAAAAUCUCACCUCUCCCUUAUCAAACAAAUGGUACUCAUCAUCUUCAGGGGAAGCAAACACAGGAGCAUCCUGUUCAUCGUCUUCUAGACCCCCCAACUCCACUUCUUCCAUAGCAUUUUGACCAAAAAAUUCAUACUGGGAUGCAUCAAAAAGCGCAUUAUCUGCAAAACCACUAACUAAUUCAGCAAUUAAACAGUAGCGUAUACGCGAUCAACCAGCAUAAUAUAGCUUAAUAACCAUCAACUGCAAGAAACAUAAAAAAAAAAAAAAACCUUUGUUUUGUUUAACAUAAACACGUAAUCAAGCGAAUACAAUAAAGUUAGUGGGGGUUAACAGUAAAGACCCGUUUGGUACCCAAGAAGGAAAAAAAUAAAGAUCCGAACUUUCAAAGCAAAAUUCAUCAUCUUUUCGCAUCAUAAAAUCAAACUAAUUAAGUAACGGGGGAAAAUCGAAAAAGAAAAGAAGGAAUUGAGGAAAGAAACCUGAGGAAGAUAAGGAGGAGAAGUUGUUGUGAAGUUUGCCAUCGGAUCGAUCCAUAUUUACAAAAACCGACGUAACAAAAAAAGAAACCCUAGCUAGAUAUAGCAGAUAAAACAGAACGAUAAGAUGAAGAAGAAAUUAAAACCCUAGAGAUACAGAAGGAAACGAAGAAAAAUCUCUCUGAGAGAGAGAGGGGAGGGGGGUGAGAGAUUAGGGGGAGGGAGGAGAAAGGGGGGGGUUUUGAUUUCGGGUCUGGGGUUUCGAUUUAAACCAAAAAGAGGAAGGAGAAAAAGAAAAAUGGAGGAUAGGAUUGAUUAAAUUUGUGUGUAUGUUUUUGAGUGCACGCCGAGAUUGAAGAAAGACACAUGUGCACGGUGAGAAAAUGACGCUCAUUCAUCACAAUUCACAAGCUUAGAUCCAUUUCCAUUCACUAAUAUUUAUUUAUUAAUAUAUUAAAACUAAAGCAUAUUUCAUAUGUAAAGAUUCUUCCCCACCCAUAUAUUCUCUAACCCUUCUUCACCAUAUUUUCAAAAAUUAUUACUUUUAUAAAGUCGCACUAAUUUAUUUUUACAAAAAAAAUCUUACUAAAAAAUAAAAAAUUAAAUUAAAUUAAAAAAUUUAAUUAAAGCCCUCGUCAAUAAUUAUUAUCGACUAUUUUAACCAUUAAAUUAUGUUGGUGUGAUUAACAGAACCUUUAAAAAGAUAACACAUGGCAUCUGAACAUAAAUUAUCACUCAAAAAUUUCAUCAUUUUCAUUGACUUUCUUAAACCUUGAAACCAUCCAAAUAACCCAUUUCUUUUGCCAACCCAUUACCGAUGCCAGCCACAAAAUGAGCAGUGCGUUAGUCUCUCGCCUCCAGCAAUGUAGGUCGAUUUGGAUAUGGGUUUGAAGUUUUCAUCGGGAUCCUCUUGCUUAUCACCACCACAAUUGAUUCCAUAAUCUUUGUCGCCGUCAAGACUCGAUGAGGAAACCAUAAAAAGUUACCCAAAGUUGAUGUACACACUCUCGAAGAAAGAUCUUUUGGAUACAUGUCGUGUCGUGUCGUGUGCUUAGCUAAUUACAAAAGUAAUGAUAACCUUACACUCUUGCCUGAUUACAACCAUUUCUUCCAUCUCAAAUUUGUGAACCACUAGUUGCAAUUGCACUCCACAUGUCUUAUUUAUUUGACAUCUCCAAUCCCACUGUUGUUUUCACUGUCUACCUUAUAUUUGUAAUUUUAUAUUUUUAUGACUUUAUAUAUUUAAUUUUUUUAUAAUUUAGUAUCAUUUUCCUAACUUUUUAUUAUAUUUAUAAUUUUUUAUAUUUGCAAACAUGUUGUCCUUAUAGGGAUUUGUUAACCAUUUUAUUCUAAUCUAACUAUCAAAUUAGUUCAUGUUGAUUUCUCUUAACGGAAAACUUAAUUGAAGGGUUUCAUUGAAUGCAAAUUAAGUUGAAGAAUUUAAUUAAUUUUUAAAUUUUUCACUAAAAACUUUUUAGACCCAUUAAAUAAAAAUACAAAAUAAUAUUUUUGCUCUUAAACUCUAAAAAAAUUAUUUUAGCCUUUUUUUUUAUUUUUUUGUGCUUUAUUUAACUCUUAAACUAUUAUUUAUUGUUAAAUUAUUUAAAAUUGGAUGGAAAAAUUAAUAGUGUCAAAGGUAAUAUCACUUGAUAGUCUAUAUAUAUAUAUUAUUUAUUAAUAUGACAUUAUUUAUUUUAUAUAUCAUAUUAGCUGCUAAAAGAUUUAACUAUUAAUAUUGACCAAAAACACUAUUGAAAAGGUGAAUUAUACCCACCUGUGGUAAAGACAAUUUAAUGAAGGUUAAAAUAUGUUGUUAAUUCUUAUACUUUGAUAGAAUUUGAAUUUAAUCCUUAUACUUAAAAAUUUAAAUAUUAAGUAUUUUUAUCUUUUUAUUUAAAAAUUUAAGUUUAGUUACUAAAAUUGUAAAUAUUUUUCUACCAAAAUUUUAUCAACUUGAAAUUUUGAUUAGGUUAUCCUUAUAUAACAUGGCAUAUGAUUGACAUAAAAUAAACAUAUUAAAUGACAAAUUUUAAGGGGGCUGGUAGGGACCCCACCCCCUCCCUAAAAUAGAAAAUUUUUCAUUUAGGUCCCUUUAAAAUUUAUAAAAUUUAAAUAAGUAAAGGUAAAAUUGCACUUUGGCCCCCUAAAAAUGAUAAAAGUUUGAUUUAAUCCUUUAAAAAUUAUAAAUAUAUAGAUAUUAAAGUGGUGAAAUUACAUUUUUACUAUCGUAACAAUAUACAAUUUAAUUCCGAUCUUCCUUAAAAAAAAUUCUAAUUUCAACCUGUGAACGAAGAUAAAAAACCAAAUAAAGAGAAAAAUAUUAAUACACAUUGAAAAGAAAAAAAUGAGUAAAACAACUGGAAUAAGAAUUUUGUGAAGGCUUUGUUCUCCAAAUUAUUUACGAAAAGAUGAGGUCAAGUGCAUGUCUUACAACAAAAAAUAAAAUCAUUUUUAGACCACCCAAGCCAUUUAUGCUAGCUGUUAAAGCAUUAUUAAUUAAUAUGUUAGCUGAUUACUUCUUGCACCAACAAUUAAUAAGAAUCAAGUUUGGGAUUAAGCAUUCCAACAUGAGAUAUUAUCCUUCUUUCCUUUAUUUUUUUACUUUUUUUUUUUUUAUAACCAUGAAUCUUUUACAGAUUCAAGUUUUCUUUUAGACGGAGGAUGAAAUUGUUUCCAGUGAGGUUGAUAAUAAUUGUGAUGGUGAGAUUAAAUAGGAUAGUAGUAAGAUUAAAAUUUAUAAUGAAAUAUGUGUUUAGAUUCAAAUGUAAUUGUAAUGGUAAAAAUAUAAUGACUAUUAAAGAUAUUAGAUUAUAAAUAAAAUAUGAUAGAAGCUUGUAAAUUAUUUUAUUUUUAUGAUAUUAUAAAAAUAUGUGAAUUUGUAAUUCUAUUUAAUAAAAUAAUAUGUAUCAUAAUAUUUUUAUAAAUAUUUAUUAUAUAAUCAUUUUACAUUAUUUGUUAUACUAAAUUAUAAAUAUUUUAAAAUAUAUUACCUAUAAAAUGAAUAUUAUAUGCACGAGUCUUUUAAAUAGAAAUGAAUAAAGAAGUAAAAGAAAAAAAAAAAGAACAGGAUAUAUUUGUUAAAAUGAGGGUCCAAUGAAUUAAUUGAACCCUCCUAGGCUCCUACCUUUGGUGAGAAAUUUGAGGUUUCGAUGGUAAAUUAAUCGCAAUUCAUCUAAACAUGAGAUUUUACGAUAAUUGAGAAAAAAAAAUAUAAGGUUAAAUGCACCAUAUUGAUAUCAAUCGGGAAUUCAAAGAUACCCUUAUGCAAUGGAGAUGAAUCAAAGUACAAAUCAUGAUGUUCCAUAACCUACUCUUUAAUAUUGUAAAUUGGAUCAAGCGCCUCAAAAAAACUCGAUAAACCUCUUUUAUACCAACUAAAAAAAGACACUAUCAUAGAAAAACUUCCUUAUUGUUUUUUAAUGGUUUGAUUCAGAAUUUGACAUUUGAAAUAUACUUAUUUUGCAAUUUUGGUAUUUAAACCUUUUUAUCUUAAUUUUAUAUCUAAAUUAUCAAUCACUUUUCAAUUUGAUACCUCAAGUAUGCAUAUAUAAAUCACAAAGUACCAUGUGGUGGUUUUAUGUAAAAAAAAUAUUUUCUUUUAUUAAAUGUAUAUGCACAUUAAAAAUAUAAACAAUGAAAAUAUAGAUAUAUAAAAAUUCAAAAUUAUAUAUUAUAAAAAAUAAAAUUUAAAAAAAAUACGAUAAUUGAAAUAAAUAAUAUUAUUACAAAAAUAUAAAAAAAAAGUUAAAAUAAUUAAAAGUUUAAAAGUAAUAUAUUUAUAAAAUUCUAAAAAGGUAUUUAAAUUUCAAAGUUUUUUUACAAUUACUUGAAAUUUAAUUUUUUUUAAAAUUUUUAUAACCAUUUCAAACUUUAUAUAUUAUUUUAGCUUUUUAAAAUUUAAAAUUAUAUAUUUUAGAAUUUUAUAAAAAAGAAUUAAACUUUUUAAAAUAUAUAUUAUAUAUUAUAUAUAAUUUUUUUUAUAUUUUUAAUUAAUAUAAUAUUAUUUUUUAAAAAAAAUAACACGUAAAAUAUUCUAAUAGCACCAUGUAACAGGUCAAUGUCGAUCAACGAUCAAUCAAAGUCAACAAAAUUUUUUAAUAUUUAAAUAUUUAAUAUUUUUUAAUUUUAUUUAAAUUUAAUCUUUUUAUUUGAAACAAACAUAUUUGCCACUUGGCAUUUUUUAUCCAUCAAAAAUAAGCCACAUGACACUUUUCCAUUGGUCAAAGUGACCUUAUAAUUUUUUUUUCAAUCACUGAUUACAAAAUAAACCAAAAACAAAAGAAAUUGAUACUUUUAAGUAUUAAAUUGAGAUAAAAAAAAUUUUAAUUCCAAAGUAAAAAAAUAAAUAUACUUCAGAGCUAAAUCUUAAAUUAAACUUUAUUUUUUUUAAUUAAUCAACUUAAAUCAAGAUUCUAAGAUCUUAUCCAAAUAAGUCGCUUUCCCUGCUGCUAACUACUUCCCACCUAUCAGCUGCCUUCUUCUUCGCUUUCGCCCGAAGCCAAAUCCAAAAUAACAAACAAAAUAAAGUGAACCAUUUGACUCCUUAAGUAAACCAUCUAUUCCGACACAGACAUUUCCCAUUCUAUAAAACUAUAAUAAUCAUACUGAAUUACACAAAAUUUGACCCUUUAUGUUUUUGUAAUAAUCCGAAUGAGAAUAAAAGAAUGAAUAUUAGGUUUAUGGUAUGAACAAAAAAUAAUUAAAAUAACUUGAUAUGAUAUGAAAAUACUAAUUACCUAAUAUAUCAAAAUUGUAUACAACACAAACCCAUGUGAUGGUUUAAAGAUCAAAAGUGUUCAACGGCUCAGAUGUGACUUGGAAUUCGAAUUGCAUUAAUCACGUUUAUUGUUUGAGAUUUACCCUGUUAUUAUAAUUCACUAAAAAAAAUUUAUAUACAACACAAAUUUUGAGCAUAUAUAAUAUAUCGGACAUGAAGUAUAAAAAUAUGGUACAAAUACAAAAUUAAUGAAGAAGGUGUUCGCAGUUUAUAGUGUUAAUGAUCUCUAAUUUCUUGUUACUUAGAAAAGUUAAAAAUAAAGAUGCAAAUUAUGUUAUGGAUUAAUUAGAUUAGCUAAGUGAUAAGCUUAAUGGUUUGAUUUCAUAUGGUCACCUUUUAUAUUAUUUAUUAUUUAUAAUUAUAUUUAUAUAUACUUUUAAAAUAAUUUGUUUUGUUUAAAAGUUAAAUUAAAAUAAUUAUAUGGAAGAAAAAAAAGAGGAGAUAAUACUUUUAAGCGGUAUUUAGUGAAAAGAAAUAUUUUGUAAGAACACAUUUAUAUAUAUAGGGUAGAAAUGACUUUUUCUAGAUAUCACAACUGUCAACAUCCAAGCCCUACGAAUAACAAUUUUCUACCGUAAAAUUUGCAAUGUAUGAAGAUUUUUUUUUAUAAUAUACACUUUAAUUUAAUUAAUUUUGUUUUAAUAUUGUUUUUAUUGCUUAUUAUUAUAAACAUUACAUAUUAUAUAAUACAUAUUUUCUUUUUUCUUUUUAUUUCUCGAUAUAUCUAUUGGAACAAAUCCAAUAAUUAAUUUUUCUCAUUUUAUAGGCUUAUUAAAGAGUAGAUGCUAGUCACGAAUUUUAAAGUUAUUCUAUACUCAGGACAAGGAUCAAACCCUAAACUAUUAGUUAAGAAAAAUCUCUUUAGUAUUGAAAAGCUUUUACAUCAAAAUAGUAUAAGCUCAUUUAUCCCCAGUAUAUAUAUGUGUAUAUAUAUAUAACAAGUUGUUUACAUUGCUUUCAAUUAUGCUGUUUUCACAAUUCGAUUUUCAGCGUUUUAUGACUUUAAUAUAUACAGGAGAUGUAAUAAAACCAUGAACGAAGUGCUUUUCAUGUUUUCUCGUACUUCAAAUUGAAUUUUGUAUUCUUUCUUCGAUUAUUUUUUAGUUAAUGUAUUUGGGAUGUCCUUGAAAUAAAAUUUUUUAUUUUAUUAUUAAAUGAAUUAAUUUAAUCCUUAUAUUAUUAAAAAGAUUAAAUAAGUCUAAAUUAUAAUAGAAUUAACAUUUACUUUUUAAUAAAUAUCUUGAAAACUUUGUGGUGCAAGUGAACAUGAUAGUCCAACAAGUGGUCGGAGCAAAACAGAAAGUAGUACAAAAUCCUUGAGCAGGAACUUGUUAGGUUAAGGAUGCAUCAGCCAAUCAAGAAAAGACUACACACUCUCAUGCAAAGUGAUAAAGUAUGUAUAGUUUAGGGGAUGAAGAAUAAUUCAUUCUGCUACUUUAUCACCUUGCUAUUUUUCCUUGGGUUUUCUUCUCCUCUCCUCUCCUCCAUUUUCACCAACUUAAGGAUUGGAGAAUGUCUAGAACCUUCAUAAUUCACUCAAAUUUAACUUCUCUUAAGUUAUAUUUCAAAAAGAUGAAAAUAUAUUAAAAUUUGUAUUGAAUUGAAAUUUAUAUAUAAUUAAAGAUUUUUUAUUUUCAAAAUAUAAAUAGAAAAAAUUAGUUAAUGAAUUGGAAUAGGAAAAAAAUCUUAAAUACUUAUAUUUAAAAAUUAUAAAAUAAAUAAAAAAUCCAGCAAUUGUAAGUUUUGUGUUUCUAGUAUUUUAAACGAGAAAUAAGAGAUUGACCGUCCAUUGGGGGAUUCCGAAUCCAUACCCCCACAUGAACAACAUUAAAUAAAAUUAAUGUUAUGAACUAACUUAAAGUGAUACCAAACUCCAAUCUCCAACCUACACAUUCCAAACCCAAACAAGAAGUGAGCUGGCGACACACCAAUCAACUUUAAUAUCUGCUUUCUUAACAAAGCUUUUUGUUAUAUAGAUUUUCAUAUGUUUAUAUGCUUAUAUUAUAUAUGGGUGUUCCAAAAGUUGUCAUUACUGCUGUAGCCGUUGUAAACUACCUUUUAAACAGAAGAUUGAAAAGCUACCGAGAUAACGGACAUUAGCACGUCAUGACCGUUUGGUUGCUCUUUGGAAUUCAGCGUUGACGUUGAAGUCGUUACAUCAUUUAUCUCACUUUGUAAUUCAGCCGUUAUAAAAGAAGAGAAAUUAGCUGGCUCAUCACUGGAUCCAUCCUAUUUAUUAAUUAAACCCCGAAAUAAAUAUUUGACAGUGUUAAAAAAACAUUAUAUUUAAAUUUUUAAGCAAAAUUUUAAACCAUGUUACAUAUUACUUUAGAAUUGGUCAAACAUUAUACAUAGAUUUUGUUAGUACUUUAUGCCAAUGCCAUUUGUAUUAUUCUUAGUAUGCUUAAAAUCCACUAAUGCUAAAACACAGGUCACAAAUUCUAAAAUAACAUAUUAUUUUAUCACCAUUUUCCAAAUUAUAUGUACAAUUCAAGUCUGAUUUAACAAUUAAUUUUGUUUUAAAAGGACUGAUCAAUUCUUGUUUCUUGUUUUAAAGCAAUUUCUACCGCAUUUUCAUUUUAAUUCUUAAUAUUUUUUAUCUCGAUUAAUAUUUUUAAAAACAUUAUUUUGGGGUGACUAAAAUGAAAAUGUGAACAUGAUUUGGCGUAUAUAAGUUAAUUACCAUUAGAAAUUUAACUGUAAGGUGAUUAAAACGUCCAAAAAAUUAAGUCACAAUAUUGUAAGGUUUCAUUUUGAGUGACCAAAAUAAAAAUAUCCUAUAAAUUGGGUGACUAUCUAAAUAGUUUACCCCCAAUAUUUUUUAAUAAUGAUGUGUUGUGAACCGUCCUCAAACCAGGAAUAAAAUUCGAUAGUCCCUACCCACCAUUUCCCAGCCUGCCUGCCUUUGCCAGCAAACGCCUCUCCUUUCUUUUUUUUUUUUUUUGGAGCAAACCAAAGUGAUCGAAUCGGAUCCCUUAUCUGUCACCCCCACCCUCAUAUAUAUACACAUUCAUUAAGCACUAGUUUUUAUCUCCAACGGUGUCAGAGAGAGAGAUUGGGUGGCCCUUGAAUUUCUCCAAUAAUGGUGAUGGGAAUGAAGAAUUGGUCAGUAAAGAAGAAGGAGAGGUUCUGGGGCAGCUGGAAACUCUCAUCAGCAUUCAAGUGGAAGAAACCCAUUGAUUUCCAGGUGAAGAUAAUCGACAAUUUGGUAUUCAGAGUUCUUUAUGUUGUAGAAGCCGUAGUUCUUGUCUCCACUCUCUGCUUCUUCUAUCUUUGCUGCGGCUGCAGCAUUUAAUUUAUCUUCUUUCUUUCAUUCUUCCCUUUUUCUUUCUUUUUAUUUUACCUAUCGCAAUAGAUGAUGGUAAGGUAACCUUAUAAUUCUUCUUUUUUGUAAUUUUUUAAAAUUCUUUCUAGUUUUGCUCUUCAACUUUUUUUCCAGGGAAAUGUUUCCUCAUCAUAACUUUAUAUAUAUUAACUACAGUGUGUUAGAAUUUUAUUUGGUUGAAUUUGUUUUAUUUACUUAUCAUUAAGGAAGGAUGCAUAUGAUUUUUGUUCUAUUAUGGAGGAUUAAUGAAGUUAUUUGUAUGUUAUAAAUAUAUAUAUUAGGAAUUUAAAACUAAUAAUCUAUUGGAAAUUUAAAACUAAAUGUUUAAUAUCUCAUUUUCAAAUUAUUUGAAAUUGAUACAGUGUUGUUUUUCAAAAAAUAAUAUUGAAAAUUGAUAUUGUGUUUUUAAUACUGAUUUAUAAAUAAAAAUUGAAAAAAGGAAUGGAAACAAAUUGUAAGGUCCGACAGGCGGAACUCGUAAAGCUGGUGCAAGUCUGCAGUUGUCCAAGUUAAAGCCGGCAAACUCCAGGCCGCUUGGGGGAAAGGCGCAAGUUUAUCCACGUCACAUAAAUUCAAUAAUUAAUAUAUAAACUUAUUUCACCCUUCAAUUUUAUUAAAAAAAUUAUUUUAAUUUUUUAUUUAAUUUUUCAUAUUUUUUAGUUCUUAAUUAGUAUUAUUUAUCAAAUCACCUUAGUAUAGAUGAAGAAAUUAACAUCUAUUAACUUUACUGACAUGUUAUUUAAGUGUGCCAAAUUAGCAAAUAAUUAAUUUUUAAAAAUUUAAACAUAUUUUUAUAUUUUUUAUUAGUGUUAAUAAUUUUUAGAUUUUUUAAAAAUUAUUCAAUUACUGAUAAUUCACAUGUAUGACAUCAACAAGAGCUAAAAGAAACGAAAAAUUAAAUGAAGAGCUAUUUUUUUAUAAAGUUGGUAGGCCAAAUAAGUUAUUAUGCCUAAAAUAUAUUAUGAUAUAAGAUAAUUUUAAAAUUGACAUGCCUCGAAUUGCGGGUUAAAAUUUUUCAGGAAUAUAUUUGUUAGUAUUGAAAUUAUUUUAUUUUGCUGCUUCAAUGACUAUCUGGGCCACUGUUGGGGAUUGGUCUGUUAUAGGCAACAGAAAAACCUUAAACCCUAAACUCUUUUCCUAUAUUUUCCCUGUGUCACCAACCCUGGUGUUGAAAACCUAAGUAUCUAUACCUUGUUAUGCUAGACUGGCCACUAUUUUUCAUUUUCCCUAAUUUUUUUCCCUCUUCCCAUUUUCUUAUUCUUUUCACUUUUUAUUCUAACUUCUUCCUUUUCCUUUCUUUUUCUUUUUCUUGAUUGUCGCACCAUUAUAGCCACUGUAUUCAUCCACCACCAUUGAUUGUUACAGCUCCUUACAUUCCUUGAAUCGCUGAAUCCCUUUCCCUUAUCAAAUCAUCCUCUUUUCGUUCAGAUUCCGUUGGUGUUUAGAUCUGUUAACGAAAACUAUCAUUAUCUUUUGCCAUAGAGUGGUAAGUGUGAUCUAUUUCAAUGGUUAAAUCUUGAUUUUCGGUUGUACAAUUGAGUUACGUUGUUCUUUUCGUUUUGCUUAAUCGAUCUCUUUCAGGUUUUUGUCGAAAGCCUUAAUACCAAUUACUAACUUGUGUAUCUGGUGCAAAUAUGUCAUUUGAAGGACUGGAUCUAGGGGUAUCGAAUUAGAUCUGAGCGUGUGGAGUAACGAACUAACUAUUGGUGAAAGGUGUGCAUCCUAACCAUGAAAAUCGGUGGCAAAUCGUGUGUGUAUUUUGGGAUCACACGGUCUACCACAUGAGCUUGUGUCCUACACGAUGGGUCAACACGAUCAUGAGCUACUGUAACUUUGUAUUUUCAAUGUCACAUGACCACAACUAGUUACACGGCCCAGUCACAUAAUCAUGUGACUAUCGUUGGGGAUUUUGCUUACUGAUCACGCGACCUUAAUGAAUUACAUGACUUGGACACACGACCAUAUACCUCAACACCACACAGUUGUGUGACCUCUAUUUUACAAUUUUGCCUUAAUCUUUGUGAAAUGUUUCAGUAUAGUCCCUAUACAGUCCCCAACUUGUUUAAAGUUCUCGUAUGCUCAAUUGAGACCCUUUUCUCAUAUUUGUUCUGUCAAUGAUUUGUUUGAUUAUGUAUUAAAUCUGAAAUUGCUACUGAUGUAUAUUCACUGCUACUAUUAAAACUACAAUUGCUAUUGUUUGCAUGAUAAUCACAUGAUCAUAUUGUUAUCAUUAUUGUUUAUUGAUCUAUAAAAAGUAUGAUGUACAAUUGCAUUGGGAUUGGGUUGUUGAAGGAGGAAGUGCUACUGGCAGUUUAUCCUCGUAUCUACUGCAGUUUAUCUGCAGAUCUACUGAUGAUAUAUCCACACGAGCUUAUGCUCCUAUUGUUAUGGUGUGUAAGGUUGGAUGAGUUUUGGGGAAUUCUUACCAUGGAGUGUAGCAGAUGGAUGAGUAGGAAAAUUUUACUAUUAAACCUGCAUAUACAUACUGAUAUCAUCGUGAAAUUGAUAAUAUGAUAUGUACUGUAUAUUGUAAAAUUGUAUGUUAUUAUUUAUUGUUUAAUUUGCUUACUGCUUAUGUGUUAAGACCACAUUAAAUUUUAUACCUCACCCCUUAGUUUUUCCUAUCUUUUUAGAUAACUUUUGAGGUUAGGGCUCGGACUCAACAUUUGGAGCAAUCAUCUGUUUUCAUCUAAAAACGUACUUUUAAACUGUUUUAUUAAUUCUUUUGGACUUUGCAUUAUUUUAAACAGACUGUGAUAUGGAAUUUAACAUUCAUAUGAGGUGUUUAAAUAAAGGAUUUGAUAUAAUAUGCUUUUACCGUCAAACUCAAUUUUGAAUAAGGUUUUCAGGAUUUUAUUUUCAAUUAUUUUAUAAUGGUGGAAAUAUGAUUUUCCUAUCAAUUUGGGAAUCGAAAUCAAAUUGAACGAGAUAAUUAAAAAUAAAUCAACGAUUCUUAAUGUAAUAAGUAUCUACAGUGACUUUUUGAAACCAAACGAAAUUAUUUUCUUGAGAACGAUUCUCAUCAGUUUUAUAAAACGAUGGUUCCUUCUACGAAUUUUGAGACUUUUUGCUAUCGAACACUUUUUAUUAAACUUGAACGUUUUAUUGGUCAUUUCGAUGGCUAAUGUAACUUUUAAUGAUUCGACCAUAACGUAUGAGUUAGGUUAUAGAGGUUACAAAAAUAAAAAUUUUAAAAAAUACAAAACCAUUUUUACAAUUUAUUUUUUUUUCAAAGCCUGUUACUAGACCUCUUGAUUUGCAUAAGUUGUACUUUAAUUUGAUCAAUUUUAGUCUCAAUACUAUUCAGAUUGGUCAAUUUUAGUCCUUAUAUUUCUUAAAUUUAAAAUUUUAGUCCUAAUCAAAUGGUAGCAAUUAAAUCUGUUUGGUUAAAUUCUACUAUUAUGCGUAAAGUUAUAGAUUUAGUCCAUGUUCUUCAACCAGAACAUCUUUAGUUGCUAUAUAUAUAUUUUUUAAAAUUUGAAAUUUCAAUCUUUUUUUAAAGGUCAGUCAUUAAAUCUAUUAAUUAUUUUUGUUUGUUUAAAAUAUAUGGAAAUAACAUGCGAACAUGAUAUUACAUAUACAAUAAUAUAUUUAACAUAUCAAAAUUUGAAAAUAAAAAAGUUAAUUUAAUUAAUUUAAUUCAUAGAAAUAUAUUUGCAAGCAUUCCAUAUAAAAAUCCAAAACUUUAGCCACAAUUUUAAUUUAAGAAAACAAUUAUUUCUUUAUUUUUAUUUUAACAACAAAUUGUAAUUUUUUUAUUUUAAAAAAUAAAAAUACAUUUUUAAAUAAAAAUUAAAAUCUAUUUUCGAAAAUUAAAAUAUGAAAAUAGUAAUGUUGAUUACUAUUAGUAAUUAAACUAAAGAUAAUUUUAAAUAAAAAUAAUUUUACUAAUAUAAUCAAAUAAAAAAUCAAUAUUUUUAUAUGAAUUUGAAUUAAGAUAAAUUAUAUUUAAAUUUGAAAAUUAAUGUUUUCAAUUUUUCAAAACAAUUUCUUUGAAAAUAAUGAAAAUUUUAUAAAAUAAAUAGAUAGAGAGUAAAUAACAAAGAGAAUGAGAGAGCAAAUAGAGAGUGUAUUUUAUUGAUCAAGAAGAAUAUUUACAAAGCUUCUCGAAAGUAUCUAUUUAUAGGCAUAAGAAGUAUAAAUGAAUUAGAGGUCUACUUCUAAUUACUAUUAGAAUUUAAAAUACAUGAUCUUGAUGAACAUCCACUUAAAACUUCACUAGAUAAAAACCCUGUGGGAAAAAAAUUCUCAGUGAAAGAAAAAGAGUACACAUAUCUAUAAUACGUAUAAUAUGCUGCCUUAUUUAAAACUUUAUCAGAGAAAUCUAAUGGGGCAAAACCUCGGUUAAGGAAAAAAGAGUACAACGCGUAUUUGCUCCCCCUCAUGAAAAUAUCACAUACUUUCUCAUAUUCUACGUAUUCAAUCUUGAAUACUAGUAUUUCAAAUGACUAUCUGAAUGUUUUAUAUCACCAUUCUUUUGAAAGUCAUGAGUGAGAAAAUUUUGAGGGAAAUAUAUUUUGAUCUCUUUAGGAGUUUCAACAAUAAUUAUAGCAAACUUUAAUCAUGUUUCUUUUAUAAAAACACAAAUAAGUAUUUUGCAUCAUUUUAUAAUCCUCCUACAGCUACUAUUCACUAUGUCAAAUUUACCACAUAUGUUCAAAUUAUUUCAAUUCAUAUAAAUGAGCAAUUUCUUGAGAAUUUUAAUAUGCUUUCGGCAUUCUAAAUAUUUUAAGAAUUUUAAUAUAAAUUUUACUAUAGAGCGAUUCAUAAAAAGUUGUAACAACAACCAUUAGAUGCAAGUUAAAUCUUUUAUAAACUGUCAGUUUAAAAAUAUAUCUAAAAGUUAUUGCAUUUACCAUAAAAAAAUAUCAUAUCUUUUCAUAAUUAAUGCCAAGACUUAGCGAAAAACUUUAUAUUUUUAUUUUGCUUUUGCAAAACUACUUCAUUUGUACCAUCACUGACUUUAUACCUUUAGAUAUUUGGACUACUUGUCCAAAAACUCUACGAAUUUAAUUGUACUUAAGUUAUGUCUUUUUAUUUUGACCAAUCUAUUCCAUAUCUAUAUUUCUCAACAGAUUUAUUCAAGAUUCUUCUUUUAUUUCAUUAUUUCAACAAUAAUAUUGCAUGCAAAACCAUUGUCGACCACUUUUAUUAUCGAUUACACAUUUUCUUGGAUUGACAUAGCUUAGCGAGAUCUCGUAUUUUCAUUAUUUUAAUCUUCAGUUUCAAGUACCUAAAUCUCUUCUGAAGUUUUAGUUAUGUGUUGGGCUUCUUCUACCAUUAUUGGCUUUAUACCUUUAGAUAUUUGGGGGAUUUUUACUAUAAUAAUAUGAAAAAAAAACCAAAAUGGGAUGCCCUUAAAAUUAUGUACGAAAAUUGGUCAUUCCAAGUGAUGGAGGGUGGUGCAUAAGCGGCACCACCCUCAAAUCCAAACACUUUCUGAAAAAUUUGCAGGUUAAAAAAAAAGAAUAGGACGAAAAAAAAUAAAAUAAGGGUGGAGGGUACCCCACAGGCGGCACCAAUGGAGGGUGCCCCACAGGCAGCACUAGUGGUGCCUUUCUCACAACUUUGACCCCCUCUAGUAUAUAUUCAUCCUGCCCCCUCCAUUCGACUACCAGAUUGGAAAAAAAAUUUACAAAAGAAGAAGAUAGAAAGAAAGAAAGGAGAAGAAGAAAGAAAAGAAAAGGUAGUUUUUUUGUUGUUAUUUUUUAAAUAAAAUAGAUUAUGAUAAGAAAAAAUUAUUUUGUUAGUAUUAUAUAGUUUGUUUAGUGUUACUUUUAUGUUUUGUUUUAAAAUUUAUUUUGUUUAUUGUGAAAUGUUAGUAAGUUUUGUGUUUAGAUUAAUUACGUAUUUAUUGUGAAUUUUAUGUUUUAAAUUUUUUAAAUAUAUUUGAAAGUUUUUAUAUUAGUAAAACUAUUAUAAAGUAAUUGUUAAUUAGUGAUAACAACUAAAAAUAUUUUUGUUAUACAUAUUAUUAGAAAUGACAACAUAUUUGAUAUUGCCUGAUGAGAUAAUAAGUUUAGCACAAAGGGAGAAAGUUGAUAAGAUGAUGAGAGAAGUCCAAGAUUACAGAAUGAAACCAGAAGAAGACAUUGUUCAACACCUUAUUACCGUAAAUCAAAAUAUGCAAAAAGUGUUGUGGAUGGGUCAUGAAAUGAUUAGAAACAAUAAAGUGCAAUACUUAACCCUUAGAGGGACAUUAAUAGAAGAGGAGCAUCAAAUCAUUUUAGACGAACUUUGGAAGACAUCGGUACCACGAACUUAUUGGAAUCUAGUUAUAAACUUCGCGAGGUUUAUAAUAUCUUAUGGAGCAAGGAAAAUAGCGAGACAAAGUAUAGGUUCAUGAAAGUUAAUUGGGAAGAAAAAUGUGUUUGACAAACCAUGGAUGGAUAAAUUAGUUGUUAGGAAAUUACCAAGAGAACUUAUAUAUUCAAUACCAGUUAUAAAGAUUGAAGAGGCAGAAGAUCCCGAGGAAUUUCCAAAUUGGAUUGUAGAAGAUGAAUCUGAAGAGAAUCAAGAUUUUCUAAAUUGGAUUAUAGAGAAUUUCCCAGAUGAAGAUACGGGAUCGGAGAUAGAAGAAAAUGUAGAACUGAAUAUAAGUGGUUAAAUGUAAAAAUAAAUGUUGUUCAUGUACAAAAUUAGAACUGAAAAAGUAUGAGCUUAUGAAUGAAAAAAUUUGCAUAUUGAUUAAUUAAUUUUGUAUUUAAGUAAUUUAUUUAUUGUUCGAAAUUGUUUUGAGAAAUUUUGUUUUUUUUAACAGAUUGAGUAUUGAAGAUGGAUAAUUAGUUUUUCGUAUGCGUUUAUUUCGAUGGAAUCAUCUUAACAACAACCGUUGGGUGCAUAUUUGAAUGUCGACAACAAAUAGCAAUGAGAUUUAAUAGAAAUGUCUCAUUGGAUGAUAUAAAGGGAAGAAUUAACGCAAAAAUUGUUAAACAUUGUGGGAGAAGGAUCUCAAAACUUUUCUACAAGUUUCCAGUUUCGACAGAUCCUAUCAAAUUCACCGAAAUAGAACUUGUAGACGAUGAAGACGUGGAGACAAUGAUAGCUCUUUACUGUGGGAAUGGGAGUGACAAAAAAUCACCGAUGCACUUAUUUGCUGAGUUAGCCGGUAUAGAGCAGAAUGAAGAUCUCACUGCAUAUGGUGAAGAACAUGCAACUGAAGAACCGUGCGUGGUGGCUCCAAUAUCGUACGUUGAUAGUGAAUCGACUAUACGUGGGAUCGAUAUCGAUCUUAAUGUUACACCCGAUAUUGACGUGGUUGGUGAUGAUGGAUACGAUAAUAGUGAUCAUUAUGAUGAAGAGGUCGAUAGUGAUAGUGAUCCCGAUGUGGACGAUAUCCCCGAUAAUACUGACGAUGAAGAUGUGAAUGACGAUGGAAACAUUAACGCGUCUUCAGUAGGGAACCAGAUGCGACGUAUUGUGAUACACAAUAACUCUGGGCCACACAUGUCGCUCAUAGACCCCGACGCGGUGUAUGAAGCUGAGUUCUCGGAGUAUCCUGAAAUACUUCCUGUUUACCGGUUGGCCGUAAAUUCUGAUCAUGAUGAGUUAUUAAUAGGUCAGAGAUUCGAAAGUAAAGAAGAGUGUGUAUUUGCUAUUAAGCAGUAUAGCAUGAAUAUAUCAGUGGAUUACAAAGUUACAGUGUCUAAACCGAUAUUAUAUAUUAGAGAGUGUUGGAAGUCGGCGGAAGGCUGUAAUUGGCAUGUACGAGCUGCAUUUAUUCAAAAAUCACAGAUGUGGGAGAUACGCAAAUUUGUUGGGCCUCACACGUGCACAUCAAUACGUAUGACUGAAGACCAUGGAAAACUUGAUUCCAAAACUAUCUGUACGUUUAUCAUGCCAAUGGUGAAGGACAUGCUGACAGUUUCAGUACUGAUUUCUAAAAUGCAGGCACGGUUUCAGUAUCUAGUAUCAUAUCGAAAGGCGUGGAUAACUAAACAAAUGGCAAUGGAGCAAUUGUAUAGGGAUUUCGAUGCAUCGUAUAACGAGUUAUAGGGAUGGAUAGCCGCUAUGCGGGAGUACGUACCUGGGACUAUCAUUGAAUUACAGAAAUGACCUUAUUACAGCCCGGAUGACCAAUUACAACCAGAAAAAAGAAUUUUUCAUCGGAUGUUCUGGAUGUUUGAUCCAUGUGUGUGCGCAUUUCCCCACUGCAAGCCGUUUGUGCAAGUAGAUGUGACGUGGCUAUAUGGAAAAUAUACACAAAUCUUACUUCUUGCGGUUGCUCAAGACGGCGACAGGAACGUGAUCCUGAUAGCAUUUGCCAUCGUAGAUAAUGAGAACAUGGAAUUGUGGGAAUUCUUUCUUACCAACUUGCGGAGGUAUGUUAUUAGCAACGAUAAUAUUUGCAUCAUCUCCGAUAGAGGGAAAGGAUUAAUUGCCGCCAUUAGGGGUUCCGGUGUACCAUGGAGAUCUGUUUACUGUAUCCGGCACAUCGCGGCUAACUUUUAUCGAGAUUAUAAGAAUGCUGACUGGAAGAGAUAAGUUGUGAAAAUGGGUAAAUGAUUACCUUAUCUUUUCAACAUAUGUUUUAAUGCUUUAGGCCAAUACUGUAACUUAUCUUUCCUUAAUACAUAUACAGCGCACAAGCUGGAGCCACAUAUUUUUCGCCAAAGAAUGGCUUGACUUGAGAGUGAUAUGGAGGGUCAAACAAACACAUCUUUCCAACAGUGGUUGGGUACUAUGGAGCCGUGGCAAUGGGCUCAAAGUUUUGAUGAGGGCUUUCGUUAUGGUCAAAUGACCACAAACUUAGUGGAGGGGGUGAACGUUGUGUUGUUGAAAACACGACAUCUUUCGAUUUCAUCUGUCUUUUCGGCUACAUUUUACAGGUUGGCAACCUUGAUGCCAAGAAUGGGUCAGUAACAAGUCAACCAGAUAGAGGCGUGAUACGUGUUUGUCGAAGAUGUCAGGGAUGCAAUGGUUGCAAACCGUCAGAUGGCGAGGUCGAUGAAUGUAGAAAUAUAUUCACGAUGCCAUGAAACAUUUCGUGUUACAGAGACCAUCGAUCGUCGACCCAGUAUACCAUCUAGGUCAUAUAGAGUUGAUCUCCGUAACAGACGGUGUGAUUGUAAGAGGUUCCAAACACUUCAUUAUCCAUGUGCGUAUGUCGUGGCAGCGUGUGCUAAGGUAAACCUUAAUGUUGAACAAUUUGUCGAUGAUGUGUACACACUCGAGCGCACGUUACGUGUCUGGGAAAAUGAGUUCCCCGUCAUGCCUGACUUGUCUACGUGGGAGGUGCCUCCGAUGACUUUCAAACUUGUCCCAGACAGAGGGCUACGCAGGAAUCCAAGAGGUCGUCCGCAAUCAUCCAGAAUUCGUAAUGAGAUGGACAUUAGGGAGAAAUCUGAUGGUAAGCGCUGUGGAUUAUGCAGGUUAGCUGGUCAUAAUUGGAGUAAAUGCCUGCAGCGAAACUAUCAUAUUGGACAAUCGUCACGAUUGGGUAGGAAAUGAGCCUAUGUUGUAAUGUAUUUAAUUUAUAUAAAAAAAUUAUAUUGCAAAGUUUGUUCCAAUUAGAUUAAUGUUGUAAUGUAUUUAAUUUAUAUUACAAUACUAGGUUUGUUAAGUUUUAGUGUUUUAAUGUUCAAAAUGUCCAAAUUAAUCUAAUUUACGUUAUGGUCAAAUUUUGUUACAAUUUUCAAAGUUCCAAUUAAUCUAAUUAAAUAUAUAGAAAGAAAUACAAACUUUUUAAUAUCAAAACCCAAUAAACCCCUAAAGUUGAUGGUUAGAUGGUGUGGUCCUAGGGGUAUACCUAUUCGGAGGUCGACGUUCACGUUGUGGGUGAUCGCGACGACCAACAUCCUCUUCAGUCGCAGGUGAGGGUGUCUGAUACAUGGAAGAAAAAUCAUAUGGCUCGAAUGGCAUCGAUGAACUUGAGCCGAGAGGAGUGCCAUGCUGCAGCGGAUACAUCCUAGGAGGAGUGGAGUACUGCGGUGGAUAUGGGCCGAGGCUAGUGCUGUACUGAUUGGGAUACAGGCCAAGAGAAGUGCUGUGCUGCGAUGGAGACGACCCAAAGAUAUCAAACCCGUAAUGGUAUUCGCCCCCUGACGAGCCCGGAAAAUAGUCGUUAUCUGGGAAAUCUGGAUGAUAAGAAGUAUCAGCUGAAUGUGAAUGCGAUUGCUUAGACUCGGCCUCAGGCUGUGCCUCGGGCUCCACCUCUCGCUCAAGCUCGAGAUCUGGCUGUGAAUCGGGAUCUAUAUCGGCCACUGGCUCGUAUGCCCCAGGUCGCUGCACGUGCAGGGGGACUAUAGUCGAUUGGGCACCAAGUAAAUAUGGCUUUCCCAUACUAAAGUACCAUUGCAUGUACUCUGGUGAUAGUUGCAAAUCAGAAGACAUAUCCAUCCGAGGUCUUCGACCCAUCCGAUUAUCCCACAUCACAAUAUAUAUCCAGUGCAUAACCCCUCAAUGCAUUCCAUGUUUCCCUCUCUUGUUAAUGCCGUGAACCUUCCCCACCUCCUUUGGUAGAUCCGGGAUAUACUGGAUGCAACCAAACUGUCGUAUUACUCGAUCCCCAUGGUACCAUUCGACUACAUUGAAACUGAUAAUUGGUGCGUUAGUGCACCACAAUUGAGAAUAAAUGUAGGCAGAAGAUGGUAUAACGGCCACAAGUUCUGGUCUACGAUAUGACAUCCAAAUAAACUGCACGAUUAAUACCAUGGUUAAAAUUUCACACGGUUUGAGUAAGAUAUAUAAAGUAAUUACAUGUCGCGAAUAUUGCAAUAGCUUACCCCUUCUCUAGCAUGUUGCUCAAUCAACAAACGAUAUAUCGGGACAGUGUACGACCUCCUGAUACCCGGAUAAAUACUCCAUCUACGAAAACAAAUUUCAAAUAAAUAUAGUAUCGUUAGAAUAGUAUCAUUAUAAAGAAACUAUCAAUUAAUAACUAGUUAAAUUUUAUCACCUGUUAACUAGUGGAUAUACGUAUGGCUGGUGACUAACCGAUGCCAAGAAUAACAUUCGAAAAAGAGCCCAUGACUGCAACAAUAUAAGGCAUCCGCCUAUGUCUGCAGCAGGAGGCUUUGUCGUCCGACAAAGCUCACGAUACAACAUAGCCAUAACUGCGGAGCCCCAGCUAUACGAGCGAACAUUAUGCAAAUCAGUUAAUAGAGGUAAAUACAUGAGAUGAACCCCGUUGUUGUUCGCAUCGGGCAUCAAUACACCCCCUAUAAUAUGCAUAAUGUACGCUCGAGCUGCGCACAUCAACUCUUCUUCAAUGGCAUUAUCUGGUAAAUGCUGAAACUUUGCUUUCAACCAUGUAAAUUUCAAACCUAAUAAAUUGGACUCAUCAUCGCCGGACGAGGCUCCUAGGAGGCUAUAACAAAGUGCAGUCAGCUCAGCUAUCGCACUUACGCCCGUGACCGAACUUCCGUCGAUUGGAAGCCCAAGUUGCAGUGCAACAUCCUCCAGAGUGACAGUGCACUCCCCACACGGCAAAUGAAAAGUGUGGGUUUCCGGGCGCCAACGCUCAACCAAUGCGGAUAUUAAAUCGUACCGUAAAUCAAACGUCCGGAUCAAUGCUGCUGACCCGAAUCCAGCUAGCUCCAAGUACAGCAUCAGUCGUGCAUCCGGGGAAUAUCCUAAACCAUUCACCUGGCCCCUUAAUACACGGUACGAUUCCUGACAAUGUUAAAUUGCAGAAAAAAGUUAUAAUAACAUAAUUUAUUUCUGAAAAUUACAUAAAUCUUUUUUUAAUGGAACCUAUGAGUAACAAAUAACAAUAUAUUACCGUUUUAUUAACUGUGUCAGCUAUGUGAGGAUCUUUCUUAAUCAAUGAAGCCGUUGCCAUACCUGCAAUUUCAAAAUAAAUUUCGGUUAUUAAUUUCAAUGUUUGAUGGAUUUUAAAUAUUUGUCAAAAUAACUAAAUUUUAUAUAUUGCUUUUAAUUACAAAAAAAAAAUACCAAACCGUUUUUCCGACAACAUAUUUUUUGCCAUACUACAUUAAAAAAAAAUAUACCCAAUUCAAAUACAAAUAUUUUUAUUAUUAUUUUAAAAUGAUAAUAAGUAAAAUAUUUUGGUUUAAAUUAUAAUAUAUAUAAUAUACCCGACAUGUAGUUCAAUAUAUUUUGGUAUUUAUUUUAUUUUCGGAUUUUAUUUUUUAAAAUAUAUUAUUUUCGUAUUUUAUUUUUUAUAUUAUUUUAGUACAUAAUGUUUCAAAUGUAUUAUUUUAGUUUUUUUUAUACUAAUUUAAUAAAAAACUCUGAUUUUGGCCGUUUGUUUUUUUAUUUUAUUUUCGGAUUUUACUUUUUAAAAUAUAUUAUUUUCGUAUUUUAUUUUUAUAUUAUUUUAGUACAUAAUGUUUCAAAUGUAUUAUUUUAGUUUUUUUUAUACUAAUUUAAUAAAAAACUUUGAUUUUGGCCGUUUAUUUUUUAUUUUAUUUUCUGAUUUUAUUUUUUAAAAUAUACUAUUUUCGUAUUUUAUUUUUUUUUAUAUUAUUUUAGUACAUAAUGUUUCAAAUGUAUUAUUUUAUUUUUUUAUAUUAAUUUAGAAAAAAAACUCUGAUUUUGGCCCUUUUUAUUUUUUAUUUUUGGAUUUUAUUUUUUAAAAUAUACUAUUUUCGUAUUUUAUUUUUUAUAUUAUUUUAGUACAUAAUGUUUCAUGUAUUAUUUUAGUUUUUUUUUAUAUUAAUUUAGUAAAAAUCUGUGAUUUUGGCCUUUUUAUUUAUUUUGCUUUCAGAUUUUAUUUUUAAAAUAUACUAUUUUCGUAUUUUAUUUUUUAUAUUAUUUUAGUACAUAAUGUUUCAAAUGUAUUAUUUUAGUUUUUUUAUAUUUAUUUAGAAAAAAAUCUGAUUUUGGCCCUGUUUUAUUUUUAUUUUCAGAUUUUAUUUUUUAAAAUAUAUUAUUUUCGUAUUUUUUUAUAUUAUUUUAGUACAUAAUGUUUCAUGUAUUAUUUUAGUUUUUUUUAUAUUAAUUUAGUAAAAAUCUGUGAUUUUGGCCCUUUUUUUAUUUUGUUUUCGGAUUUUAUUUUUUAAAAUACACUAUUUUCGUAUUUUAUUUUUUAUAUUAUUUUAGUAAAUAAUGUUUCAAAUGUAUUAUUUUAGUUUUUUUAUAUUAAUUUAGUAAAAAACUCUAAUUUUGGCCGUUUGUUUUUUUAUUUUAUUUUCAAAUUUUAUUUUCAAAAUAUGCUAUUUUCGUAUUUUAUUUUUUUAUUAUUUUAGUACAUAAUAUUUCAUAUGUAUUAUUUUAGUAUAUUUAUAUUAAUUUAGUAAAAAACUCUGAUUUUGGCCUUUUUUUAUUUUAUUUUUGGAUUUUUUAAAAUAUAUUUUUUAAAAUAUACUAUUAAGCUAUUCUUUUAAUAUUUUUUAUACUAUUUUUGUAAAAAAACUCAUCACAUAAAAAAUAAAAAAAAAUCAAAAUAUAACAUGCCAAAUAAAAUUAAUAAAAAAUAUAUCUAAUUAACCUAAAACACACUUACCAAAUAAAUUAAAUAAAAUAAUAAUAAAAUAUUUUUUGUACAUAACAUAGAUAGGAUUUUUUACUUCAAUAAAAAUUAAAAAUAAAUUAUGAAUAUAUAUAAAAAAUAAAAUAAAUACAAACAUACCUUAAUAUCUCUUUUUAACCAAAAUAUACCUUGCAAAAAAUUAAAAUAAAAAAUUAAAUCAAAAUCAAUCAACAAUAAUAACAUUAACAACUAAUAUAAAUCAUUUAUUUCCUUAAAUUAACAAUUAAAAAUUAUUUCGUUAAAAAAAAUAUUACCUUUUUUUCCUUCCCUCCCUCUUCUUCUUCUUCUCAUUCUCUUUUUCUUUCUCUUUUUUCUUCCCUCACCAAUGCCGCCCCCUCCUCCUCAUUCUUCUUCUUCUCUUCUCUUUCUCUUCUCCUUCCCCCUUUCUUAUUCUUUACUCACGCACACAAAGAAAUUGGGGACCAUUUUAAGGUCCCCAAACACAUAAUAAAACAAAAGAAAAGGCAGUGAGCAGUCUCGUCGGUGGCAGUGAGGAGUCCCGUCGGUGCAGAGCAGUGACUGGUGCCGCCUGUGGGGUACCCUCCACCAUUAUUUUAUUAUUAUUAUUUUUUCGUCCUAUUCUUUUUUUUAACCUGCAAAUGUGUUAGAAAUGUUUGGAUUUGAAGGUGGUGCCGCCUAUGCACCACCCUCUAUCACUUGCAAUGGCCCAAUUUCGUAUAUAAUUUUAAGGGCAUCCUAUUUUUUUUUCAUAUUAUUAUAGUAAAAAUCCCGAUAUUUGGACUACUGGUCCAAAAACUCUAUGAAUUUAAUUGUACCUGAAUUGUGUCUUUUUAUUUUGACCAAUCUAUUCCAUAUCUAUAUUUCUAAAUAGAUUUAUUCAAGAUUCUCUUUUUAUUUCAUUUUAUCAACAAUAAUAUUGCAUGCAAAAUCAUUGUUGACCACUUUUAUUUUCGAUUACACAUUUUCUUGAAUUGAAAUAGCUUAGCAAAAUCUCUUAUUUUCACUAUUUUAAUCUUCAGUUUCGAGUACCUAAAUCUCUUCUGGAGUUUUAGUUAUGUCUUGGGCCUCUUCUGGAGCACCGCCUCUACUAUAUAACCAUCUAGAAGAAUUAUUUUCUUUUAUAAGAAUUUUCAUAUUUGAAACUUGUAAUGAGUUAUCCUUGUUGAACUUUUGGUUCAAAUUACUCUCCCCUCUGACUCAUUACAAGUUAUUAUUUCUCUCCCCUAAUGUCGGGAAAACUAUUGAAUCAAAAUAGUAAUCACAAAUCAUGUUAUAAUUGAAUAUCCAAAAUAUUUAAAACAUAUAAUAAUACAAGGAGACUUGUAAUUAAUAUAUAUUCCCAACAUUUUUUUUAGGAUUCACUCAUCUUUGUGCGUUGUGAUGGAUCAAUUGGAAUAUAUACUUACAUAAAAAUGUUCAAAUAUGAGAAAUAUUUACCUCUUUACCAAAAACCAAUUGUAAUAGAGAGUGUUUAUAACUUACUGGCUUGAUGCGUACAACACAUAAAUCAACAUAAUUUCAUGUUGAAAUAGGAAGUUUAGUUCUCAUAAGUAAUGGUUUAGACAUUAAUCAGAGGCGUUCAAUCAAUAAUUUCUCUAAAUCAUUUUGCGCAUAAUUAACAAACUUUUACAAAAGUUUUUCAAACUCAAUCAAUAAAAGACUGAGAUACAAACUCAUCAGUAUUAGCAAGAUGAAUUAUCUUAAUUGCAAGAUUUGAAAUUAAUUAUUUAAAUAAGCAAUCUUGCAAAUGACAGGUUGCAAGUUGGUAACACAUGUGAUUAUUUUGUAGAUAUAUCUACCAAAAUCAUAUAAUAUCAAAACUAUCCUCAUGGUGGAUGAAUGAGCCAAUAUUCAUUUUAGAAAUGCAGGACAUUAAAUCUCAACUUUAGCUAGUGAGUUUUUAAUAAUCAAAUUUCAUUGAGAACAAGCAAUAAAUGAGAAUUCUUUAAAUUAAAGAAUCUUUUGGUUCUUUAAGGAAUGUCCAUAUGAAUUACAAUUAAUUUUCACAUCAUAUAUGAUUCAGGAUGGUCUAAUUGGCCAUACCAAAUAGUAAAUGUAUUUGUAUCAGUAAACUUCCGAUUUACUUUAGCAUGAAUUUCAAUUGUAUUAAAUUGUAACAAAUUGGUAAUUUUACUAUCAUUCAUUUUACUUUAUAUCCACAUAUAAGUACUUUGUAACAUUUAUUACUAGAAAUGUCUAAAUCACUGUGAAGUCUAUAAUGACACUAAGUCAACAAAAUAAGUACUUAGUAACAUUUAUUACUAGAAAUGUCUAAAUCACUGUGAAGUCUAUAAUGUCACUAAGUCAACAAAAUAAAUAUAAUUUUCAAACAAUUAUAUGCAAUAUUCGCUUUAAGGAAUAUACCAUUUUUUUUGCAUUGAGUCUUGACAAUUUUAUCAAGAAGUAAGUAAAUUGAACUCCAGUAGUAAACUUUGAAUCCAAUCAAAAUCUAUUAAUAGCAAACUUUGAGAGUGAAUCUUAUUUUCCAAGUGUAUACAAGAUACAUAAUCAAUGACUUUUCAUACAUAAGUUUUCUCUUUUGUAAGUUCUCAUUAGUAAUAUUUUUCUACAUAUUUUUAAUUGAUAAUUUAUUCUGAAUAUUGUAGAGUUAUACUCACAGUUAAAAAAAAAAACUUGCAACUUCAGGUGCAUCCAACCAUAACGAGCUUUAGAUAGAAUUAUCAUAUUCUAUUGCUCAUAAGUAGAUUUUUCACAGUUAAAUAUUUUGAUUUCAAUCCCUUAAUGGGGAUGAUGACAAAAGAAGAUCACAAAGAUAAUCACAGUUAAUUCAAUUUAAUUAUAAGAGUACUCAAUAAUUCAAUCCUCUUUUGAUUCAUAUGAAAUAUAAUCUUUCCCUCAUUCAUAAUCUCAAUAUGAGAUCUAUUAUGAAUAUCUUUUAAAACCAAUGGAUUAACCAUCACAAGAUAUUAAUAUAUUAGCUCUUCUGGAGCUUUCGACUAAUUUUGUACUACUAAAUAUUAAAAUAAUAUUGGUUUUUUAUUUUUUUUGUGCUUGCGUUCACUUCGGGUACGAACUUAUAAUCUUCCCAAUGGAUUUUUAUUUCAUAAUCACCAUUACAAACAUGCGUCGAUUUUAAAUCAAAAUCUAUUUAUUUAUGUUCUCAUAAUUAGUCUCCAAUCAUAAUAAACAUGAUAUAAUAAAUAAAUCAUAGUAAAAUAUACCUAAAGAUCUUUAACAUCACCGUAAUCAACGUAAGAAUUAUAUAAAUUUCUUUGCAUAAAAGGGCAUAAAAAUUAGAGAUUUAUGUGUACCUAAGAGGUUAAAGGCUCUAAUGAUUACCCAUAGUGUGCAGGCCUCAAUUGAAAUAGCAGCAGCUCUAGGAGGCAAUCGACAACAAUAAAUUUUGAGAUAUUUUUGUACUUAUGGAGAAAAAUAAUUAAAAGAGAAUUGUACUGAUAACGUUUAUAAAAUAAAUAGACAGAGAAUAAAGAACAAAGAGAAUAAGAGAGCAAAGAGAGAGCGUAUUUUACUGAUCAAUAGAAAUAUUUACAAAGCUUCUCCAAAGUUUCUAUUUAUAAGCAUAAGAAGUAUAAAUGAAGUAGAGAUCUACUUCUAAUUACUAUUAGAAUUUAAAAUACAUCAAAACUUAUCUUGAUCUUAAUGGACAUCCAAUUAAUAAGAUAGUCAUAACAAAAAAUAAAUUUUUCUAUUUUUAUUUUAUUUUAAAGAACUUUUUUUAAAAUUAAUUAUAUUUUCUUUAAUAUGUUUUUAUUUUCCCAAAACAAUAAAAAUUAAAAUAACCUUUUAUUUUUAGAAAUUAAACGUGCCCUUAACUUUUACUUUUCUCACUUUCUCUAUUUUUCAUUCCAAUUAGAAAUGAAUGAAAAAAAAAGUAUUUUACGUCUUCACUUUUUUUUUUCCUUAUUACUAUAUACAUUAUUUUACUUCUUUUUUUUUAUCUUACUUUUGUUUUUUUUCGAGACUUUACUUUUUGGCUAAAUUAGCUUUUUAUGCCAAAAAUUUUUAUUUAGCCUUCUAGACCAUUUUCUUUAAAAUUAGGAAAAUAGGUCAAUUUAGUUGGACACACUUUCACACACUUUCUCUUAAGGUUAGGAUUUUUUUUUAAUUUUUGUUAGGGUUAGGGUUAUAGUUUUUUAUUUUUGUUAGGUUUUAAACUGUAAAAGUUUAUAGGUAAAUUUAAGGGGCCGUGGGUGCGAUAACGUGCCUCAGAACACAUGCAUUUCAUAUGUCAUGCUAGGAUAGGACCAUUACCUUAGAAACUCAUCCUAUGGAAGUCCAAUUUCAAGGUAAUAAUGCUUGAUAUGAUCAUGGGUUGAAGACUAAGUAGAGGUUGCAGUCAGUAGCCAUGAUACGAUCAUGGGUUUGAGUAUAAUCGGGGAAUAGUUUACGGUUGUUAUGUGGUCACGAGUUCAAGCUUUUUAGAUACUCGCAAAUGAUGCCUUAUAUAUAUUAUACAUAAGAUUGAAGUCAUAAUCAUAGGAAAAAGCGGAGGGAUUUCUAGUGUAAUCAACAUAAUUUUUUUCUCUAAUUUCAAGUAGCUGAUAUUUUUAAUCUUUCAUUUUUAUAUAAAGGCUAACAUCGAGGUGGACACAAGAAGGCUCUCAGGCAAAGAGUAGAUGUUCCGACACAGUAGAAGUCAAACUCCAGUCGGCACGACAAUGGUUGUUAUUAAUGAGUUGUUUAAUAAUGAAAAUCAUUGUCACCCUGGAAGGAGCAUCACCUUUACUACACCGCAACAGUUGCUAUUCACCUGAGAGUCCUCCUGCGUCCAUUGCGAUACUAGCCUUCGAAUAAAAAAGAAGGUUAAAUAGACCAGCUAGUGGAAAUGGAGAAAAAAAUUACGCCGAUUAUAGCAAGAAGCCCCACAAUUUUUCCUUAUGACUAUGCUGUUAAACUUUUUGUAUGGUAUUUGUAAGGAAACAUUUCCUGGUAUUUGAAAAGUUUGAGCUCGUGGUCGCGUAACAAUCAUCAAAUUGCUCCCCUAUUAUACUCCGAUUCGUAACUGCAUUAUGGCCAUCGAUUGAUACCUAUACAUAAUUUUUUUUCUCUAAUUCCAGGUAGCCAAUUUUUAACCUUUCAUUCUUACCAGAGGGCUGACACCAAGGCGGACACAAGAUGGCUCUCAGGCGGAGAGUGGAUGUUUUCAUAUAGCAGAGGUCAAACUCAGGUCGACACGACAGCAGUUGUAAUUAUUAAUGGGUUAUUUAUUAACGAUAAUCAUUGUCACCCCGAAAGGAGCAUCACCUUCAUUGCACCAUAAUAGUCACUAUCCACCAGAAAGUCCUUUUGCGUCCACGACAAUUUUGGCCUUCGAAUAAGAAGAAAGGUUAAAGAUAUCGGUUGCAUGAAAAUGGAGAAGAAAAUUACGUCGAUUAUAGCGGGAAGCCUCACAAUUUUUCUCUGUGAUUAUGCCCUUAAACUUUUGUAUGAUCUUUAUAAAGAUACAUUUCCUGGCAUCUGAAAAGUUUGUGCCCGUGGUCGUAUAACAACCAUCAACUGAAUCCCCUGUUAUACUUUGAUCCAUGAUCGCAUAAUGGUAAUGGAUCGAGACCUCUACGUAGACUUCCACUAGUGAUCAUACAAACUAAAAUAAUCUCGACUUCCACUGGAUAGGCUUCGAAGGUAAUGGUCCCAUCUUAGCAGGAUAUAUGAAAUGUGUGCGUUGAUGGAGCAAUAUCGCAUCACUGAUGACUCAAGAAUAUCUCGAACCGAAAGUUAUAUUAGCGAAUAAAACUUUUAACAAUGAAGUAGCUAAAAAACAAAGAGAAAGAAACAUUGUAAGAUUGAGUAUGGAGAUGAUGUAUUUGGGAUGAUGGAGUAUGAAGGGGGACACCCCUUUUAUAGGUGUGGGGGAAGGAUCAGAUUGCAAAGAAAAAAUCUAGUGGUUGAAAACUCGUUGCAGGAUCAACAUUUUCAUCGAAUAUCGCUUAUACGUGUUGAAAAUUUGCAAAAACAUUGCUUGGAUCAGGUAUUUUUAUUCAGGCUUUUUGAAAACAUUAGAGAAAACUCGUCCAACUGGGCGAGCUUUUCUGCUGACAUGGUAGGAAAGCGCUUUGAGCGUUAAUCUAACAAUAGUUGGAUUAUCUUCUAGCUACUCGGGUAGUCCUAGAUAACUCAGUCCAUGGUUUCACCUAUACAAUCAAUCCGUUAAUUCAAGCAUAUAAUAAAUAAACAAUAUUUACUAUACAAAUUACAUAUUUAUUAAUAAAUUAUUUUUACCUUAUCGCCAAUGGAAACAUACAUGGGUCGUUCACUCGGGGAUGUAGAAAUGAUAGUUGCCACUAAGCCCAUAAUUGCAGUAGGAGCAGACAACCACCAAUUGACAUCUUAUCCGGUUUUGUCUCCCGAUACCUCUCCUCAUACAAUGUGGCCAACAUGACUGAUCCCCAACUUAUUCGUCCGCUUUCUUUAAAGUCGAUUAGGUGUAAUAGUCACCUUAAGUGUACCAAAUUUUGAGAUUUAUCAGGCAUUAGAAUGCCCCAAUUAACCUUAGAAUGAAUGCUUGAGCAUAUUGUUCUUUGACGACGUCGGGUGCAUCUGUAGUAAACUUUUUGAAAUUGGUUUCCUACCACUUCAUAUCUAUGCGACUACCAUAAAUUUUAUUUGACACCUUCCCCAAAAAUGCCUUGCAAAGGUCCUCUUUACCGGAAACGAUCACUGACCCCAUGACUAUUGACCCAUCCACCGGUAAACUGAGUUGUAAAGUUAAGUCCUCGAGUGUCAUGGUACAUUCGUAGCAUGAAAGAUAAAAAGUGUGUGUUUCAGGCCUCUAUCUUUCUACCAACACAUUGAAGAAUGUAGGAUCGAGUUUGCUGCCCCCGAGCAUACGAGACACAUGCAAGAAUCUCAUGUCUUGCAAGUAACCACAAAUUUUGGUGAUUGGGCCCUUUGACAAAUUAUAUAUGAACCCCUUCAAAACACGAUAAUCCACCUAUUUAUAUUGAAAAAAAAAUAAUUUAAAAAAUAAAGAAAACUUUAAAAUUAACUUAAUUUAAAACAACAAAAUUUACAAUUUUGUCUUACCAUUAUCGCUUGAGCGAGAAAAUGUACUUGUCGUCGAAACGAAUCAGAAAAGUUGUCAGUCGUGAAAACUUAAUUGAAACGAUUAAUAUACGAAAUAAUUAAAUAAACCUACAAUAUUUUUAAACAAACAUAUUGGGAAAUUUAGAAUAAAACUUGAGAGAAUUGAGAGAAUUGUGAGAAUUGAGAGAGUUGAGACUUUAGAAAGAAUUGAGAGAGUUGGAUUCAAGUGAAAAGAAUGAAAAAUGGCUUGAUAUUUAUAGGAAAAAUAAAAUUACAGUUGAAGUCCUUCUAAAAUUUUACUGUUGUCAACGUUAAAGAAAAUGAUCGUUAAUCAAAAGCAUGCCCAACUGAACGUGCUUUCACAAUCGCUCAAAAUUCAACCUAUUUCCUUAAAUUAAAAGAAGAAAACCUAAAAAGUCACUUUAAAAUAUAAUGCUAAUUUAGCCUCACUUUUUCACUUAAUUAAUCAUAUCUAAAAGUGCACUUAUUUCAUAUUGGUGCAGGAUGAGAUUAUAGAUACAUCACCAUUGCUUUUGAAAUAAUGGGCUUUUCUCUUAUUUUGAUUGGUGGAAGAUUUUGGUGUUGCUCACAACGUAAAGGAUAAUUUAUAGGUUAUCAUAAUAGAGAUGGCAUGUGAAUCUUCAUUACCAUUUAAUUAUAGCUUAUCAUGUUGUAGGUGUUCUUUUUCUUUUCAGGCAUGCUGUUAUAGGUUAUCCCUUGGGCUAAAACAUUAAUGGUAUAUAAAUCUUAAUUACCCUUUAAUUUUGUGGGUGUAUCGAUUCAAUAUAUAUUUAUUAUAUGAUAUGGAUGAUUUUUUUUUAAAGUUUACAAGAAUAAAUAUAUCCAUAAAUUAUUACAAAGUUAGUUUUUAGUUUGUGAUUUUUUGUAAUAAGCGAUAAAAAUAAUAUAUUUUAGUUUCACUCUUAAUGCGUUUUUGGAUGAUUAAUUUAUAUAAAAUGGUGAAUGUUAUGCUCUUAACAAUUUAAAUUAAUGUUUUUAUAUUUAGAAGAGUACUUGAGAGUAAAAUGAGCGAAAAUUAGAAAAUCAGAGCAAGUUUCAGGAGCCACACGGGCUCGACUCUCCCACAUGGGAUGGGCACACGACAAUGUGAGCCACAUUGGCUUUUACACGACCAUGUGCUAGACCGUGUGAAAAUCACGAAUUGCACUCCAAACACAUGGAAAAAUACAUUUUUAGGUUGUAAUAAACCAUUUUUGCUCAAGCCCAAACCAAACCAAAUAAAAAUAAAAAUUACAAGUCCAUUUUUUAAAAAAAAACCCUAAGCCCAAAUUACAAGCCCACAACCCUAAGUUUCAGUAAAAUAAAAAAAACCCUAGCCUUCAGCGUCGCUACCCUCCACAUGAACGGGACGCCUCUCGGGGCCUACGCGCCUUUGCUGCUGUUUCACCAAAAUGGCAAGUGCAUGCUUUUUGCCGCGUCAUUGACUCUCCAAGGGCACCUACAAAAAGAAUGAAAAAAAGGACAACAACAGCAAAAACAGUAGCAAAGAAAUUAUACCAACACAGAAACAAAAAAGAAAAGAAAAUGUUGUAAUUUCAAACGGCUAUAAAGGCCGAUUUCUUGUAAGAUUCAAGGGGGGAGAAAUACAAAAAGAAAAAAAGAAAUAGAAAUCAGAAAAACUCAAAAAGAAAGAUGAUUUUUUUUUAUAUUUUCAUUACUUAUUUUUAUUUUCUAUUUUUGAAAACAUAUAUAUAUAAAAAAGUGAAACCUAUUUACCUAUGCCGCCGUAUUCUUCCUUCGUUUUGAAAGACUGACGGAUCUUCAGGGCUCUCCGAAUGGUCAUGACGAAAAAAGAUAGAACUGAAAGGUUCCUUUGAUUUUUUUUUCGAAUUUUGGUAGGCUUUUUGGGCAUUUUGGUCUUUAGAUAGGGGUUGAGGGUAGUAAAACAAUCAAAAAGGCCCAUUUUUCAUUUUUUCGACCACCGUGGAUGGCGGAGCCGUCGUCGGUGACUGGCUUCCACCGAAGGAACUUGCCGAACUUUGAGGCUAGCCAAGGGACUGCUGAAAAAGUGGGAGAGAGUUUUAGUUUUUUUUUUUUUAAAAUAAGGGCAGAAAUGAUUUUUUAAAAAGGUUUGGUGGCUUAAAUAGGUGAUACAAAACGAUGCCAUUUUGGGCCAAUUUUCAGACGUCAAAACGACGUUGUUUUGACACGGCCCGUUAUCCGACCAGUUCCAUCCCCUAGGAUCCGCAUGGAAGGGAUAUUUUUGCUUUCACUCCUUCCGCUUUUUAAUGACAUUUCAAUCCAAUCCUAUUUCUUAUUGUUCUCCUUUAAUUUUUACCACGAAAUUUUGAUUUUAUUUCAUUUUUGUCCCUUAUAGAACGGUGCGUUUAGAGGGCCUAGGAAUAAUUUCCCAGUUGGUUCCCCCUCUUUCGUGCGCAUUCUAUUUAGGUCCUUAUUCGAUAUUAUUAUUUAAUUUAUUAUGAUUUAUAUCUUUAAUUCUGUUUAAAUUUCAAUUUAGUCCUUCAUUCAAUUAAUUUCAUCUUUUAUAUUUGUUUUAUUUAUUUAUUUUUAUUAUUUUUAUUCUUUCUAAUAUAUUUAAAAUUAUUGAUUACUCCUUUUAUUUGUGUAUAUUGUCAUCAUAUUUUUUUAUUUUUUAUUUUUUAAAUAUAUUUAUCAUAUGCUUAAAGUUAAUAUUAUUUUAUUUAUUUGUUUUUCUUUCGCUUUUUAAAUAUCUAAAGUUAAUAUUAUUUAUAUUUGUUAUAUCUAUUUAUUUAUUUAUUAUUAUUUUAUUUUUUAAAUAUUUAAAUUUGAUAUUACUCAUACUUCCUUUCAUUAAGCACCUUCCAUUUUCAUUUUUUUAUGUUAAGUUACUUUAUUUAUUUUGUUGUUAAUGCCAUGAAUUAAUAAUCUUAUUAUUGUUAUAUUUACAUUAUUAUAUUAUAACAUUUAUCCAUGUGUAUAUUAUGACCGAAUAAGUAAAAUGCUUAUUGUUUUAAGCGUUACAUUCGUUUUUUGCACGAUGCAUAAAAAAUGAUUUUUUAUAAACCGAGGCAAAUGUUCAUAAUUUUGGAAUUAGAAAAGUCGUGUCCCUAACUUACGGAAUAUGGCUUUCUUCUAAAACUGAGAUAAUCGAAUAUCAAUUUUUUUUAAAAAGAGAUUUUAGCGUUUGUUCUCGUUUUCGAGGAUUUAAGGCAUUGUGUUCUAACUUAUGGGACAUGAUCCUUUCUUCUCGAUUAACUUGAAAUAAGCCAUUUUCAUGAAAAUUACUUUAGUUAGGUAGUGCCUUAAUACAAAAAAGGGAUUUUGUUUUAAACUCUUUUCGAAUUUUUAAUUCUCGACACUAAGACAUUAAAUAAUCAACUAGGUACCAAUUUUGGGCGCUAUAAGGGUGCUAAUCCUUCCUCAUAUGUAACUGACUCUCGAACCCCUUUUUUUGGAUAUUUGUAAACCGAAAAAUAUUGUUUUAGUGAAUCAAGCCUUUUAUUAAAAUAAUCAAAUUACUAGGUGAUCCGAUUACACCUCAUAAAAAAAAGGGAUCGGUGGCAACUCCCAUUUUCGUUUUCAAAAUAAAGUCGAUUAAAAAAAAGGUUUCGACAUAGGUUUUUGGGCAUUCUAAAACAUAUAUAUGACAAAGAUAAGAACAUGGGAGAUGACCGUCAUAGAAUAUUCAAGAAAAUAACUCGAAAAACACCAUUGAAGUCGACUCUGAAUCAGAUUUCCAUCAAGAUUGAAUAUCUCCUUUUGAUUUCUUUGAAAUUUGUUAUGAAUUUCUUUGUUUCUUGUAAUUAUACUGUCUUCGAGAUGUUUUUAAUUACUAUCAUGAACUAGUUUUCCAAAUACUUAGGAAGAUGAACCGUAGGAUGAAUUCUAUUAUUUGAUUUCUAUUUUUAUGCAAUAAAUAAUUGGAUAUUGUUCUCAAUUAUGUGUGCUUAAUUCUUGGUUUAAUAUUUCUAGACUAUUAAUCCAUAUUUAAUGUGCUAAAAUUAGAGGAGAAAUAGACUUUAUUUAAGAGUAGAUCUACGAUAAUUGAGUGGGGUUGUAUGUAAUCCUAGAAAUAUGACGACAUAAAUCUACCAGAUUAGAGUCAAAUCUAAUAGAAGAAUCUAUAGAUCGAGUUGAUGCGAUAAUAGGGGUUUUAAUUAGAAAGAAAUUUCAAUUAUUCAAUCUAGAACUAGUUGUUCUUAGUCUUGAAGAAGGAUAUUAGCAUAAUUUAGAGAUUUUUACAGAUCAAGAUAUUAAGUAAAAAAUUACGUAAUUUAGAUUGAUAAUGAUAGAUGAAAUAUAGGUCGAUACUUUUAGUUUUCGUGGGAACGAUAUCUAUACUUACCAUAACUAUAUUAUUAAUUGAUGGAGACACUUAUCUUUGUUGAAUUUUUAGUUGAUUUACGACUGCAUCAUUUUGAUUUUGAAAGAGUCUUUUAGACUCUUAUCCUUUCAUUAUACAAGUGGUGAAGUAAAUGAAAUCUCUCACUAUUUAGUAAAGAGGAUCUUAUUAUGUGCUUAUGAUGUUAUUUAUAUUUCUCCGUCAUUUUUAAUUGAUUGUUUAUAAUUUGAUUUGAUGUCAUGAUUUUGAAGGAUCUUAAGAUAAAGUGUACUGAGAAAGUUUAUUGACCUCAAUUUAUCGCUUUUUUUUUUGGAUUUUCAUUAAUGGUAGAUGAAUUUGAUUUACAGCUAUUUUUUCAGUCUCCAAAUUUAAAUGGGUUGGAACUUGGAUGUUUUUGAGCAAUACAAUCUUUGCAUCAAGAAUCUCCAGCAAUUGAUGAGCUAGUGGGGCUAUAGUAAUAUCUUUCAACGAGGUUGUCACCAGAGAGUUUGAACAAUGUGUUUUUAACGUUGAAAUUACGAAGGUUAAUGGAGGAAAUAACAUAUGGGUAAGCAAAGAUUAGAAAGAAAUGGACAACUUUCAACCCAACUCCCUAAUGAAUACUGACCAAGAAAUUGUGCAAGAAGCUUUCCAGCAUCUUUAUGGGUAAUGGUAUUGAUAGUAUGAAAUAUUAUUCAUGUAAAAAAAUUAUUUUAACCAUCCAUUUAUUAUUAUUUUUUAUUUUUUAGUCAUUAAAUUUAGGUUUUAUGUCAAAUUAUUCAUAAUAAAUGGAAAAAUUAACAUUUUUAUUGUAUUUUAUUCAUUGUUAUAUGAUUACACAUAAGCAUUUAGAUAGUUUUUUAAAAUUUUAAAAAUGAAAAAAAAUAUUUUUUUAAAAUUAAAAAUCAUUAAAAUUAUUUAAAAAAUUAUAAUUUUUUAUUAUUUUAAAAAAAUAUUAAAUACUUACAUGUCAUUUAUGUGACAAUUCAAGUGUACGACACAUCAGUAAAGUUAAAAAAAGAAUUUAACUUUUCACCUAUUUUAGGGUGAUUUGACAAAAACACAAGUUCAAGUAUUAAAAGAGAUGAAAAAUUAAACAAAGGCUAAAUUCAUUUUUUCUAUAAAGUUGGAGGGCAAAAAAAAAUAUUAUGACUAUUUCAAAUGCUAACAACUAACCUUCUGCCAUUUGAUAAGUCAUAUAGUUACUAUAAUUCAGAGAUCCAGAAAAGAAGAGCCAAAAGUUGUAUGAAUAAGCCAGUUCCAGCAGCAAGCAAGCUUUUCUGACUGAAAUGUCCCAAAUCUUGGUCUUCUUUUUUUGGUUUGAUGUAGGCAUGAGAUGCUCAAUGGGAUCGAAUGCCAACGAUGAGGUAGGUCACGGAUUACAAAGCAUUUUUACGAGUGUUUAACAUCAGCGGGCUUCCACAUUUUUUUUUAUUUUUUUUAUGUCUGUUUUAUUGUCGUGGUUAAAGAGAGCAAUUUUUAUACUUAUUGGCUUCACAUUGUUACUGUACCGCUUGAACAACCUUAUAGACCCCUCAUGACAUGUCUUUCUCAAAGAACAAAACUGCUUGACAGGUCUUCCCCUCUAAAGCAAACAAUUACUCAAUUACGGACACAGUCCAACAACCCUUCAUCAACAUCUACCAUCUCAUUCAUUGUAACAAAAUUAUAAUGAAGCUGCCCAAAUUUGUCUAUCGAAAACGAACAGGAAGUGCUUUAUUUUUCAAGAAACUAGAGUCUUAAAUCUGGACGGUUUGAUUGCUUAAUAUACGCUCCAAAGGUGUCAUUCAUUGACUACGCUAAAAUCAAAAGAUUUCCCAAAGCUACUCUACUCAGGAGCCAAUGUUAAUGUGAGUUUGCAUAUUAUCUACCUACUGUCUGAAUCUACCUACUGUCUGAUAAAGUACAAACAUAAAGAAGCAGCAUAAGAACAAGAAGAACAUAGAUGAAACAGAGUAACUAUAUUAUUGGUUUCCUUAAAAUGAUAAUUGAUGGAAAUGUAUGCGCACCUCAUUAAGUUGUAAAAUUCAUACAGAGACUGGAAGACAUACUGAUCUAUAAACAAUGAAGUUCAAAUCAUGGUUAUAAAUAUAAGUGUACCUGAAAAAAUUAGCACUACCUUAGCUGCAUAUGCAAAUACAUCUUUAGACGGUUUUCAUUAGCAGCAGCUAGUUAGAAUUAUUUAGAUAGGCAAAAACUAAAGAGGCACCUCCAACAACUAAUCAUAGAGAUUGACUAGGUCUGUAACUUAAAUAGAUCAUCAUUAAUGAACAACAAAAUCACAGUAAUCCCUUUCUCCUCGUUGUGCCCUCAAAAUCGGUUUACUGAAAGCAUUCGACUCCUUAAGAUGGGAGUUUAUUCUUGAAGUUCUUGUUGCAUUGGAGAUGCCUAAACAAACUUUAAAUUGGAUUAGAACCUGUAUCACUAUACCUAGGUUCUCCAUUUCUUGAAAUGGGGGACUAGUGGGGUACUUUAAAGGUGCUAGAGGGUUAAGGCAAUGGGAUCCACUAUCCCCUUACUUUUUUGUGCUAUCCAUGAACAUUCGUUCUAAGCUUCUUGAUGCUGCAGCUACUCAUGGACUUUUUCAAUAACAUCCAGUGUCAUAGGAUAAAAUUAGCUCAUCUGUGCUUAGCAGAUGAUUUGUUAAUCUUUUCCAAGGUAGAUUUUGAUUCUUUUUUGGGGAUUUGGAGUGUAUUUACAGGUUCUAUGAAUUCUCUGGUUUGCAGCUUAAUCCAACAAAAAGUGAAUUUUUUUUCCUCGGGGAUCUCAAAAGAUGAGUUGGAUGGAAUUCAAGCAGUUACAAGUAUAAAAAUAGGCAAACUGCGUGUUAGAUACCUUGGAGUUCCACUUGUCAUAGAAGGCUUACUGUGAGAGAUUGCACCCUGUUAAUUGAUAGGAUUGCUGCAAGAUUACAUAGUUGGGAAGCUAAGCAUUUAUCUUAUGCAGGGAAAGCACAAGUCAUCCAAUAUGUGAUCUUUAGUUUACAGAAUUUGUGGUGUAGACAGCUUAUCUUGCUUAAUGCUGUUAUUCAAAGGAUUAAUCAAUUAUGUUCACGAUUUUUCUCGAAAGGGAAGGAUGAACCUGUGGAGGUUGGUAGAGUUAGUUGGGACUCUAUUUGCUUCCAAAAAUCAGAGGGGGGUUUAAGCCUGAAGGAUUUAAUGUCAUGGAAUCCAGGAUAUUAAAGCCAUUUUAACAAAGCAAGGGUUUUUAUGGAUUGCGUGGCUUUAUGCUUAUGUUAUAAAGGAUUGUUUCUUUCGGCAGUUGCAAGGAACAAAGGGAGGAAGCUGGACAUGGAGGAAAAUAUUGAAGAUGAGAAGCGUUGCUAUAACAGCAUUAAAGUUACCAAUUGAUGCUGGGAUUACUGUUUCUAGAUAUUGGAAAGAAAUUAGAAAGGAGAAGGUGCUAUGGGAUAGAUUGGGUUCGUGGAUGGUCAUAUGGGAUAGGCUGCUGACAAAGGAGAAAUUGAUUUCAUAUGGAAUGAAUAUUGAUGGAAACUGUAUUCUGUGGUAGGGAGAAAGAAAGCAGAGAUCACCUUUUCUUUGAUUGUGAUUUUUCAAAGGUGGUCUGGAAGGAGAUUCUGAGGUUAUGUUAUGGGGUGGCUCUAAGAGCUUCAUUGGGCACUUGAAAGAUUGAAAAGGAAAGUCUCUUAAUACUCUCAUUUUGAAAUUUGCUUGGGAUUUGGAAAGAAAGAAUCAAAAGAUUAUUUCAAGGGUUGCAAAAAAUAGAGGAUAUUGUAAAGAGUAAAAAACAAAAUAGUGAAAAUAAGAUUACUAGGGAAAACAAUAGGUAGGAUUGGAGGAGUUAACAAUAGGCUUUCUAUAGAUUGGGAUAUUAAAAGAAAGGUAAAUUACACCCAUGAUCAUUUUUGUUUACCUCAUAUUACAUUUUAUUCAUUUAUGUUUGAAAUAUUACGUUUUAGUCAUUUGUGUUAUCGUGUUGUAACAUUUUAAUCACUGAACUGUUAAUUGCCAUCAAUGGUGUAACGGUAAGCUGAUAUGGCACGUUAAAUCAUCAUUUCAAACAAAAAUUUUAGGUUAAAUUAUAUAGUUGAUCCCUAUAUUUUUUCUAUUUUGUGCAAUUUAAUUUUUUUUCCUUUUAUGUUAAUUUAACUCUUUUUUUUCCAUUCUCUUUCAUCCACUAACACCUUCACCAUUACCAUGACCUCCUUUCGAAAACAUCUCAAAAAAUUCACAACUUUUGGACUGCCCAAGAUUGAAUCUCCAACAUCUGUCAUGAGAUCGGCUUGAUUUUCUGAUAUGUGCUGCUCCUCACCAAUACCUUCUUCCUGAUUGUUAGGAUCGAUAAGAAAGUUGUCGGAGUACCUCGAACCCCUUGACUUGAAUCUAAUCCCUCUCUUUUUCUCAAUUUCUCUCUCUUUUUUACACUUUUUUUUCUUUGUUGCAAGUCUAAUCUUUGGCUCUUUGUGAUUUUAUAGGGCUUAUUAAUUGUUUUUUACUUGGAUUCUUGAUUGAUUUGAACAUGGGUUUAUUUGGUGAAUGGAUGAUAUUGUUGGGUUAGUCGUGAAUGAGGUCAUCGUAGUGGUAAAGGUGUUAGUGGAUGACAUGAAGAUGAUAGGUGGUUGUGGAGGGUUUUGAUAGUUAGCAGAUGAUAUGAGUUUAUGGGUUUUGGUUAUAAGCAAUAGUAAGAAAACAAAGGGAGAAUAGAAGAAAAUGGAAAAAAAAAGGAGAGUUAAAAAAUCAUGAAAGAAAAAAAUUAAAUUGCUCAAAAUGAAAAAAUAUGAUGACCAAUUGUAUAAUUUAACCUAAAAUUUUUAUUUGAAAUGAAGAUUUAACGUGCCAUGUCAACUUACCGUUACACCGUUAACGAAAAUUAACAGCUAAGUGACUAAAAUAUUACAACACGAUAAUGUAAAAGACUAAAACGUAACAUUUCAAAUAUAAAUGACUAAAAUAUAACUUGAGGUAAACAAAAGUGACUAUGAGUGUAUUUACCCUUAAAAGAAUGAUUUAGAUGAUAUAGAAUUCCUUUGUAACUAUACGUGGACUUAUAACUUUGGUAGCAGACCACUGCUUUCUUUGAGUAAUUAAUUUUUACGAUUAAGUAUAUAAUCUUUUUUAAAAAAAAAAAAACUCUCACUGGCAUAUUUAAAUUACACUUGGACGAGAAAUUAUUUUAUGGACCAUUCUCAUUAUAUUAUUUAUGGUUCUUUUUUUAAUUAUAUAAUAAUAUUUUAGUAAAUUCUUUUGUCAUUGAUAUAUAACUUUUGUAAUAUUUUUAUCCCGAACCAUAAAUCUCAAAUCUCAAACUAGAACGUUAAACCCCACAUCUUAAACCUCAAACCCCAAAUUUAAACAAUGAACCAUGAAUCUUGAACCUUGAACUCGAAUCGUAAACUUUAAACUCAAAACCCCAAAAUCAAAUUCAAAUCUCAAACCUAGAAUCUUGAAUCCCAAAUCUUAAACACCAAAUCUCAAACCUUGAACUCCAAAUCAAAACCCUAAACCUUAAAGCUUGAUUCGAGUUUGGGGUUCAAUAUUUAGAAUUCAAAGUUUGAGGUUCAAGAUUUAAAGUUCAAGGUUCAAGAUUGUGGGUUCAUGGUAAAAAAAUUACCGAAAUUAUUUAUCAAUGACAUGAAAAAAAUAGUAAAAAAGACUAUGAAUGAUAUGGUGAGAAGGGUCCAUAAAAUAAUACAAUUUCUUUUCCUUCAUCAAUUUAUUCAUUAACAUUUUUUAAAAAAUCAAAUCAAAUAUACACUUAAAUGAAAUAAACUUGAAUCAUAGAUCAAAUAUCGGCUUUUUUUAUAAAAAUAACCCAAAAAAUUAAUUAAUUACGUAAUUGACCCACUUUUUUAUUAAACACAUAAAUAACCUAAAAUUUACCGUGAAAGUUGGUGGAGUCAAAGAGUUUGGCACCAUCAACGUACUAUGUUAGCAACCGUGAUAAAAAAAUUAUUUUUUUGGUGGAGCCACGUAGAAUGACGCCACCUAUAUAAAUAUCAGGGAAAUACUGUAAUUUUUAAAAAAUUGGGGGUAGGCUUUCAAAAAAUAUUCCUUUUUCUGGUGGAGCCAAAUAAUUUGGUGCCACUAGUUUUCAAUAUUGUCAAUGUCUUUUUUAAACUUUGUUGAAGUGUCCUUUUUUUUUAAUUUUUUAAUUAUUUGUUUUUAAAAUUUUAAAUCUAUAUUCUUUUUGGUGGAGCCAUUCUAAAUGGCACCACCAAUACAUUUCAAGGCUUUUUUAAAAAUAUUUUUUUAAUUAAAUUUUUUAAAAAUAAUAUUUUAUUUGGUGGAGCAAUUCUUUUUUGCGUGACCAAAUUGAUAUAUAUAACCCCUCAAUGGCAGAUCAAUUUGAGUUGAAGGAAAAAAAUUACUUAUACUUUAUUAGAGGAUGAAUGAGAGAGAUAUGAGAAAUUUAUGUAUUUGUGUGUGUGGUUUUUUAAUCUGAUGGUAUGUUUUUUUUAACGAUAACCCCGUGAAACUCCGACACCAACAAAUUUAAUGGUUGUUUUUUGAUGCCAAUUAUUUAUUUAGUAACGGGUUCAAAUUGGUUAUAUAAUUGCUACCGUUGGUUGUGGUAAGACGAUAACGGGUUCAAAUUGGUUAUGCAACCAACGAGUAGAUUAUUUUGGAUUCCCUAGGUCAAUGAGAUGUUUGAAGAUUUUAAGAAAUCUUAAAUCAAAUCACACGUGUGAAAUCAUCAAUAUCGGUAGCAUUCGUGCUACAAUUUAAUAGCACCAAGAAAGUCACUCUUGUUGCGGUUAAACAAUUUAUUUUUCAAUUUGUAAGAUAGAAUGAUGUCGGUUUUGAACAAAACCGUUUAAUUAUGUUUUGUUUGUAAAACACAAUAUUGUCAGUCUUGAACAAAAUUGUUUAAUUAUUUUUUUUGAGUAUUGAGAAAGUUGUUUGUAUUGUAAAAUUAUAUAUUGUAAGUUAAGUGAAACUAUUUAGAAUGUUUGAAAUGUAAAAUUAUAUUUUAUAAAAUAUAUUUUUUGAAUUAUGUAAAUUGAUAAUUAUCUUGUGAAAUAUAAUUUCCAUAUAAAUCAUUUAUGUAAUGUGAAAUUAAGAAAAUCAAAUGGACAUUUUUAAGGAAAGAUUGAUAAGAAACAUUUUUAAUAAGACCAAAAAAUAAAAAAAGUUCGGAAGAAAAAUAAAGAAAAUGGGGGUUGAGUUGAUUAAAAAAAUGAAAAAAGAUUUAUUUGUAAAAAAAUAAAAUAUGGCAUUUUUAAAAAAAAUAAAAGAAUUAAAAAUAAAUAUACUAACUGAUCACAUUGCAUCAAUAACGUCAGUGAUGUGACUGGUAAGGAUUUAAUAAUUGUUACUUAAAAGAAAAAAAAAAAUGAAAUGAAAGGGGAAAAGAGGAGACGUUGAGCUAUUUACAAAAAGGAAGGUGGAGCUUUGGUCCCCUUCAAAUUUUUUGUAUAAUGAGAGGAAGAAGGAAAGAAAAGAGAAAAGCAAAAAUAAAAAAAUAAAAAAGGUUUUAUUUGUUUUGAAGCUGAUAAGUCCAAGUAAGGUAUGUAUAGUUUUUCUUAUGUGCAUAUAUUACAUUAAAAGUAGUUAUUGUAAUAUGAUAAUUAAUUAUAUUUAAUUUAUGUAAUUUCUUUAAAAUUAUAUAGAUAUCAGAAUGUCUUUUUAAGUAAAUACGGAUCACACUUUAUCUAGGAUCAAUGAAACAAUAAAAUUAAUUAUAAAUUAAAUAAAAAAAUAUUUCGUUUUGGUUUCUCGCUUUUUCUUACUCAGCUCUAUUUUACUCUACGUGUUUUGGUUACAAGAAACUGAUCUCUAUUUGAUUGUUAUUAGCCCUUUUUAGCCUAUUUUUUGCAUAAACUGAUCUCUAUGUGUUUUGCAUGUAUUGAAUUUUUUUAUACAAAUAAAAUUUAAUAUCUUAUAUCACAUUUUAGGGCUGUUAUUAGCUAUUUUAGCCAUUUUUUAGCCCUUUUUUUUAUUUUAAUAAUAUUUUAUUACUCAUUUAAUUUAAUUUAAAUAAAAAUACUUAAAAUAAAAAAAUUUUAAAAUUAAUUUUAUGUUAAAAUUUAAUAAAAUAUAUAAUUUCUUUAAUUUUAUGAGUGUUGAAUGUAUGAGUAUGUCCAACAUGGUAAUGUUAAAUUAUUUUCAAGUUUCUCGUGUAUUUGAAAAGUCUUUCAGGAAUCUAAUUAUAACGUGUUAUUAUUAAUCUAGUCCACCAUUCUUAAGCAAAUGGUCUUCUCUUACAAUUUAAUUUAACAUUGGUAACUUGUUUAUAUUUGCUAAGCCAAGUUUACUUUGAUAUGGAUGUUUGCUACGUUGGUUUGAAUAAAAACAUUUCGUUGCAUUUUCAAAAAUUUAUUGGGAUUAAGAUUAGACCAUUAUAUAUGAUCAUCUCUCAAAGUUUGCUUUGAUAUGGAUGUUUAUAUAUGUACUUUGCUUUUACAUGUUAUAACUAUGUGUGAAAUAUGUAAUAUGUAUAUAACUUCUACUUUUAUAAUUUAUAUUAAAGAAAUGGCUUAAAUGCAAAUUUAACUCUCAAGCUUUAAUUUUUAAUCACUUAGGUAAGUUCUUGCUUUUGUAAAAAAUAGCAUUUAAACUAUAAUUUCAUGUCCCGGCUUUUUAAUUUUAUGUUUAAACAUAAAAUUAUCCUACAAUGAGGAUGAAUCGAAAAGUAUAAUAUAAGAUACUGUUUUUGUUUUCUUAAGCUUUCAGUUAUACUCUUCAAUAUAUAAUUUUAUGCUUAAAUUAUAUAGAUAAUUGAUUUAUCAUAUUUUUAUAAAAAUUUUACCAUAUAGGAUGGGUACUGGGUUUUAAGGUCACGGUUUUUUUUCUCAGGUACGAUCCAGACGAACGGAUCAUGCCAUACUUAUAGUUGGUGGGAUUUGGGGAUGUUGCGUUGAUCUGGAGGUUUGACUUAAGGGCGAACCUAAUAUCCGCCUUGGUUGAGUGGUGGUGUCUAGAGACCCACACCUUCAUUAUGUCGUACGAGGAAUGCACUAUCACCUUGGAAGAUAUCACAAUACACCUUGGGUUACGAGUUGACGGUGAUGUGGUCACGGGCUGAAGCAAAGUGUUGGAACCUUUAAUAGUAUGCCACAUAUUGCUUGGACGGUCCCCUGGUGAUAGGGAACGGAACUUCAAGUGCUUGACAUUGGCAUGGUUGAGAGCAAAUUUCAAGGAGUUAUCAAGCACUACCAUUGAGCAUGAGGUGAUGUGCGCUGCUCAAGCCUAUAUUAUGCAGUUGAUCGGGGGAUACUUUUGCCGGACAACACUUCUAAUAGGGUCCGCUUAAAGGACUUGUCUCUAUUGGAGGAUUUCUAUCGUGCCGGUACUUACAUCUGGGGAUCAGUAGUGUUGGCUAUAUUGUACCGUGAGCUUUAUCGAGCAACAAAACAUGGGGUAAGUAACAUGGCCAAUUGUGUGAGUUUGUUGUAGUCCUGGGCUCUGUACAGGAUGUCGUUUCUAGCGGCUGUUAGACACCAACCAUAUUCGUGGCCACUUGUCAAUAGGUAAAGACAAAAUUAUACUUAAAAUUUAACUGCUCAUAAGUGUGGAUAAUAUUUUCCCAAGUUUAAGUGCUAACGUGUUUGUUUCGAUUUCAGAUGGGCAACGUCUCUGGGAAUUUGUGCGAGCAAAACAUUAAUCACCGUCAGAUGAUAGAGGCAUCUGCCAGAGAGAAAGUAAUAUAUAUUGAUUUAACUUAAGUAACAUUGAUUUAACUUAUCCACUUGCAGUAUGUAAUGUGACUUGACUCAUUCUGUUAUAUUGUACAGUUCUUGUAGAUGCCGUAUUCUGCAGCGAACACUACAACCUUUAUUCCAUAGUGGGUUCAUGCCGAAGUCCAUGUGUGGUGCAUUAACAUGUCAGUGCUCAACUUCUCAACCAUUGAGUGGUGCAACGCCGAUUGGGUCAUGCAACAAUUUAAGGGUAGACAAUUUGUGCCGAACAAUCCAUAACAAUUUGCUGAUGUCUACGGUAAGAUCAUGAGGGGAAAAGAUGGAGCAAAUUGGAGCAUAGAAAUCAGCAUUAUAUAGCACUAUGGAACGCCUGGUACAAGAGGCGGCCUGAGUUGCACUCUUGUAUGUUUGACUUCAAUCCUCGAUUGAAUACAUGCAGUACAUGACUCAAUAACACGUUUAUUUAUAUGAUAGACAACUUAUGAUAGUACCGGAUCACGACUACAGACGUGGAAGUCAACUUAUGAUAGAGCUCAACCUAGAGGAUGAACAUAUGGUGGAACUCGACCAGGAGGAUCAACAUAUAAUGGAGCUCGACCAGGACACAUGGAUUGACGCUUUUUCUGAGGGGUCUCAGAGUAGUUCAUAUCACCCGGAGAUGGGCGGUUCUAGUUCUACUUACAUACAACUGCAACCGCCAAUAACAUUUGAUAUGUUUCGUGAUACAUGAAUGGUUAGGCUAUCUUUCACUAGUGGCAUGAUGCAGUUGCAGAUACUUUUGACGUCUAAUUUUCUGUGGUCUUGAGACAUACGUGCAAUAGUGUAGUAUGACGCCCUUCUAAUUUUCGUAUUUGCCAUUGUUGAGUCCUCUAUAUAAAUGCAGCUCGAACUCGCCAGCCGUACCUAUCACUGACUCUCUAACAUUCCCCAACAUAUAAUAUCGAUGUAGACUUGGCAACCUUAUAAUCAAUUGAUACCUUCAUGUUGUACUAUUUGAAGGCAAACACACAGUUUACGUUGUUCUCGAAUCGUUGCCCAACAAACAACUCUUCCAACUACGAAUUUGACGCUAAUCUGUGAGCAGGUACUAUAUUGGCGUACUCAGGGAACUCGGAUGCAUGCGCUACAUCUAAUCUACGCUCAACAUGUUGCCCCUAAGUUCAUUUCAUAAAAUAAUUCCACGACUCGAGUUAUUGAAUGAAGGGCCCUGAGCAUUUUCAAUCUCCUCCGGGCUUUCAUCGUCGAUAUCAUCAGGAACUUCAUCAAUAUCGAUGUCACUAAAAUCUUAAACGUCCUGAUUAAAAUCUUCACCAUUAUUGGUCAUUUCUCUGAUGUUUUCCUCGGUGCUUAUUAUCACCUCCGGAUGUAUUUGUAGACGGGGACCCGGGGUAAGGUGGUUAUACGAUUCCCACCAUAAUUUGGAUUUUCGAGUAUCUAUGAUGUCCCUCCGCAUUCUAACUGAUCUAUCCUUCUGACAUUAAGAUCAAAGUCAAAUCCAUGAUGUUGACUUAUUGUACUAACAUUCUUAACGGGCUUUAAGUCUGCUAACUCAACAAAUAACUCAACUGGUUAGGGAUUCUUACUCCCAGUCGAACACCAUAUUUCCAUCAUAGUGCCCAAGUCAUCAUCAUCUAACAGUUGUAUCUCACAAAAUUUCAACAAAUCUGUAGAGAUUGGAAACUUGUAAAAUAAUUUGAAUGUCACCCUUCUACAACGGAUAGUUAUUUUCGCACUGAUCUUCCUUUUCAUUUCUUUUAGUUUCACAUUUUUAUUGAAUCGCAACCCCACUCUUUGCCGACCUUAAAAGACACAACCAACAUCAUCUUCUACAAUUUCACCAUAAAAAAAAACGUAUACCAAAAACACCGCGUUAUUCAUCAUCAACAUGAUUUUUGAACUCUCCUACUAAACAUAACAAUUUCUCUCUUUUCUUUUAUUCCAGUUGAAUUCUUACAAAAAUGACUCAAAAUAUAUAUGUUGAAGAACUAAGUGGUGGAGCCAAAAUAAAAUAUAAUUUUUAAAAUUUUUAGAUUAAAAAAAACACAUUUAAAAAAGAAAUUACAUUGGUAAUAAAAAUGGUGGCGCCAUUUAGAGUGAACUCCACCAAAUAAAAUAUAUUUUUUUAAAAAAUUUUAAAUAUAAAAAACAUAUUUUUAAAAAAAAAGUCUUGAAAUGAACUAGUGUCGCUAUUUAGAAUAGAUCCACAAAAAAGAAUAUACAUUUAAAAGUUUAAAAAAUAAAUAAUAAACAAAAAAGGAAGGACACAAAUUAAAUUAAAAGAAAUGGCAAAUAAUAAUAAAAAAAGGACACAAAUCAAAUUUAAAAAAAAAACUGUGGCAGACAUUGGAAACUGGUAGCGCCAAAUGAUUUAGGUCCACAAAAAAAGGAAAUUUUUUUAAAGCUCCCCUCCAUUUUUUUAGAAUUUACAGCAUUUCCUUAAUAUUUAUACAGGUAAUGUCAUUCUGCAUGGUUUUACUAAAAAAUUAAUUUUUUUAUCAAGUUGCUGACGUGGCAUGUUGGUGGUGCUAAACUCUUUGACCGCACCAACUUUCAUGGUAGAUUUUAAGUUAGAUACUUGUUUAAUAAAAAAGUGGAUCAUUUACGUAAUUAAUUAAUUUUUUAAAAUUAUUUUUUAUAAAAAAACCAUCAUAUAUGAUUAUUAUGGGUUUUUUACUAAAAAAAUAUAAAAAAAUUAAAAAAUUUAAAAAUAAUACACCUAAAAAAGUAAUUAUGAAAAUGGUAUGGUCAGGGUGGUCACGCCACUCUGACAGGCAGCACCACCCUGACGUGACGGUGAACAGUGACCUGCAACAGUAAAAAAAAACUGAAAAAGAAAAAAACACUGAAAAUGAAAAAAAAUAAAAAAAGGGUCAUGUUGGUGCCAGAGGUGGCACCAGUGUUGCCUCUGGCAGAGGCGGCACCAAUGUUGCCUCUGGCAGAGGCGGCACCAGUUGUGUGGGUCCCACAAGCUUAAAUACAUUGAACUUAAAUACAAAUAUUAUUAUUAUUUUAAAAUGAUAAUAAGUAAAAUAUUUUCGUAUAUUAUUUUUUAUAUUAUUUUAGCAAAAAAUGUUUCAAAUGUAUUAUGUAAGUGUUUUUUAUAUUAAUUUAAUAAAUAACCCUGAUUUUGACAUUUUUUCGUAUUUUUUUCGUAUCUUAUUUUUUAAAAUAUAUUAUUUUCGUAUUUUAUUUCUUCAUAUUAUUUUAGUACAUAAUGUUUCAAAUGUAUUAUUUAAGUAUUAUUUAUAUUUUUUCAAUAAAUAACCCUGAUUUUAGCACUUUAUUUGUAUUUUUUUCGUAUCUUAUUUUUUAAAAUAUAUUAUUUUUUAUUUUAUUUCUUUAUAUUAUUUUAGUACAUAAUGGUCCAAAUGUAUUAUUUAAAGUAUUAUUUAUGUUUUUUAAUAAAUAACCCUGAUUUUAGCACUUUAUUCGUAUUUUUUUCGUAUAUUAUUUUUUAAAAUAUAUUAUUUUUGUAUUUUAUUUUUAUAUUAUUUUAGCAAAAAAUAUUUCAAAUGUAUUAUGUAAGUGUUUUUUUAUAUUAAUUUAAUAAAUAACCCUGAUUUUGACACUUUCUUCGUAUCUUAUUUUUUAAAAUAUAUUAUUUUAGUAUUUUAUUUCUUCAUAUUAUUUUAGUACAUAAUGUUUCAAAUGUAUUAUUUAAGUAUUUUUUAUAUUUUUUCAAUAAAUAACCCUGAUUUUAGCACUUUAUUCGUAUUUUUUGUAUCUUAUUUUUUAAAAUAUAUUAUUUUUGUAUUUUAUUUCUUUAUAUUAUUUUAGUACAUAAUAUUUCAAAUGUAUUAUUUAAGUGUUUUUUUAUAUUUUUUUAAUAAAUAACCUUGAUUUUAGCACUUUAUUCGUAUUUUUAUUUUCGUAUAUUAUUUUAUUAAAUUAAUAUAAUAAAAACACUUACAUAAUACAUUUGAAACAUUUUUUCCUAAAAUAAUAUAAAAAUAAUAUACGAAAAUAUUUUACUUAUUAUCAUUUUAAAAUAAUAAUAAUAUUUGUAUUUAAGUUGGAUGUAUUUAAGCGUGUGAGACCCACACAACUGGUGCCGCCUCUGCCAGAGGCAACACUGGUGCCGCCCCUGGCACCAACAUGACCCAUUUGUUUAUUUUUUUCAGUCUUUAAUUUUUUUUAGUUUUUUUUAACUGUUGCGGGUCACUGUUUAUCGUCACAUCAGGGUGGUGCCGCCUGUCAGAGUGGCGUGACCACCCUGAUCAUACCAUUUUCGUAAUUACUUUUUUAGAUGUAUUAUUUUCGAAUUUUUUAAAUUUUUUAUAUUUUUUUAGUAAAAAAACCCGAUUAUUAUUAUUAUUUUGUGAAAUAAACCUGGAACUUACUACAUUCCUAUAAAAAAUACAGUUAUAUAACUCAUUGAAACUUCUUAAAAGCUGCUUAAAUUGUUAAACCAUUCCAUUUUACUUUCCAAGACAGCCACAGCCAAAUUCCAAGAUCUUGGAUUUGACACGUAACCCAAAACUACAAUAGCAGUCAUAGGGGUGAGAAACUCUAUUCACCCCCAAUUAAUUCUACCUAAAAAAAACUAAACAUCAAAAUAUAAAAUAAAUUAAUAUAAAUUCGGAUGACAAUUGAAUGAAAACUUUUAAGGGUGAGUUUGGAUGGGCGGUGCGUUUAGCUGCGGUUAGUGUAAAAACAGCGGUGGCGGUGAGAUUAGAUACUGUAGCGAUACUGUAGCGUGAGAUAAAAAGUAAGUUAAACGCACCGCACCACAGUCAAUCGCCCAUCCAAACGAAGCCUAAGAAUGUGUGUUUUAGACUAAAUCUUUUUAAUAUUUUAGUGACUUUUUUAGGGUGUUUUAGUAUUUUGAAGUGUAUCAUUUCAAAAUAUUAGUGUUUGGUUGGGAUAAAUAAUAUAUUUUUAUUUUUUUAAAAUUAGGUUAUUAAAAAAUUUAAGUUUAAAAAGUAAUUAUAAAAUAAGAAAAAAUUAUUAAAAUCAAUAAUAUAAAAAAAUACAAUAGGGAUAUUUUUGAAAAAAAAUACAAAACAUAGGACCAAAAAUAUUAAAUGAAAUAAAAUUAUUAAUUUUUUUGGAAAAUUACUUAUUUAUAUAAAAAAUUCUAUUAAAAAUUUUGAAGUUUUAUAUUGUUUUUACUAAAGAAAUUUAAAAACUUGAAUAGAAAUGAAAUAUAUAUUUUUUAAAUGUUUAAAAUUUCAUUUAAAAAAGGCCAAAAUAAAUAUAAUUAUAGUAAUGCAAAUAAAGGAGAUGAAGUAUAAUGAAUGUUAAAGAAAUGGAAUGUGAUGGAGGACAGCCACAGCCAAAUUUCAAGAUCUUGAUUUGACGUAAAAUGAGAUGUGGACUUUUGAAAAUUACAAUUGCAAUCGUAGAAUAUAUUUUAAUGUUGUUUUUACGUAUUUACGCAAUGGAUACCUACUUUUUUCAUAACUUUAAUCAACAUUCAUAUAUGUAAAUCAAAUACACAUAGUGAGGACUAUAAAGGCGGAUAAUACUCUUGCUCCUUCAUAACCUAACUUAAUACACUUCCAAAUUUAUAAUUUAAUUCCCCUCUCAAUUCUAUUUAUUUUUUAGGCACCCUUCAAUUUUUUUAUAAGUCAUUUUAAUUCUCUAUUUAAUUUUUCAUAUUUUUUAACUUUUUUUUGUCAAAUCACUCCACUUAGAUGACAUAUUAGCAUUUAAUUUUUUCUAAUUUAAAAGAUAUAUUUUUUAAUUUUUUAUACUUUUUAAAUAAUUUAUAUAAUUUUUUAUUUUAAAAAUAUUUGUUUCCUUAUUCUUGAAUUUUAAAAUUUUAAUUAAAUUUUGACGUGUCAUUCACGUGCAUACCACAUCAACAAAGUUAGAAAAUGUUAACUUUCCAUUCAUUUUGGGGUGAUUUAAAAAAAAAUAAGUUUAAGGACUAAAUAAAUUAAAUAAAGAGCUAAAAUGAUUUUUUUCUAAAAAGUUGAAGAUCUAAAUAAAUCAUUAUGCCAAAUUUAUAUAAUAUUAAAGAAAGAAAAUAAUAAAAUUUGAAUUCGUGUGAUUUAAAUGUCGAAAAAAAUUAUUUUGCACGAUUAGAGGUGAAUCUAAGGGGUUGGCAGGGGCCCGACCCCUCUAAAAUGAAAAAUUAUUGUUUUCACCUUUUAAAAAAUUUUAAAAUUUUAAAUUAUUAAAGGUAAAAUUACACUUGCCCCCUAAAAUUAUGAAAAUUUAAUUUAAUUCUUUAAAAAUUAUAAAGAUAUAGACUAUUAAAAAUUAAAUUUUCACUUCAGCCCCUAAAUUUUUUUUUCUUCGCCCUGUGAACAAUAUUAUAUUUGAUAUGAAAAUGUAAACAUUUAGUGAUAAAUUCAUUCAUUCAUCCUAUAAUUACCAGUUUGAUACAUGAAAAUUAUUAAUUAGGGAAUAAUUGGUGUUGAAAAAUGACAUGGUUUGGGAUGUGAAUGGAAGAAAGAGGAAGCAGAAGAAGACGAUGUUUGAAUAGUAGACUGCGUGCCAUCCAUGCCCUCCUACCGUAUAUGCCUAUACCAUACACAUCAUGAUUCAUUCCCUAUUCCUUAAGUAAUUAUUUUAAUUAGAGAUUUAAAUUACCCACUAAAAACUCUUUGAAUUGACCAUCUAUCUAAUCCUAUACGCCCAUCGUGUGAAUCCAAACCCUUGCACAUUUCCUCUGUGAAAACGAUAGAAAAAGAAAGAAAGAUUUGUUUAUUAAAUAUAGGUUUGGUGGGUGGGCAAGGAUUCCUAUUAACAAAUUAGAUUAACAGAAUUAGCAUCAUCAUCACCUCCAUCUCAAUCUUUUAUUUCACGAAACUUCAUAUAUAAAUUCACAUAUAUAUAGGGUCAUGGGAAGCUCCGGAAUCCAAAGUAUAUUAUUAUAGUUAAAAAGCUUUGAAAUUAUGGGGAAGAAGAUAAUAAGUCAAGUGAAAGCGAAAAUAUCUAAGACCAGCUGUAGCGACAAGAAGCCAUUGAUGAACAGUAUGAUAAAGGUGUUGCGACCCAAAGUUUACAUCAUCGACAGCUCCAGUUUCAAAAGCCUUGUUCAGGAGCUCACUGGCAAUUCCACUGUUUCAUCACCUUCUUCUUCUUCUUCUUCUUCUUCUGAGAAAAUGGUGCCUGUUAUUGAGGUUGAAGAUGAUCAUGGAAACCCUGAAAGUAGCAUGGAAUAUUCAGCCUCCUUUGAUGCGUCGGUUGAGUCAUUCCGGGCCUGCAACGGUUUGACUUUGCCUUUGGAUGAUACGAAUAUUCAAUCGGAAUAUAUGUUGAUGAAUCAGCGGGAGAGUUCAUUGGUGUAUGGGGAUCUUCAGGCAUUUUUAGAGCUUGAUGCGGAUGAGCAAUGUUUUGGGGGUUUGGAUAAUGUGUAUUCUGAAAUUGGGCAAGAGGUGAGUAUUUAUGACUAUGAGUUAUCUGGACUGAUAUGAAAGCUGGUAGCCUACCUGGCACCUCCAUUUCAAUUUGCCUGUAUGUGGUUUUUGUCGUAAAUACAGAUAUUUAGUUAAUAGAUUGUACACAAUCAGAAGACUGUAUUUUUUUUUCCCAUUUCCGUUGCACAGAGAAAUGGUAUUUUCAGUAUUCGUUUGUACUUUGGCUCCUUUGUAAAUAUAGUUGAACGGGUGAUGUAUAUAUGUAUACAUAUAUACAUAUAUUAUAUCUUUGUAUUUUUUUGGAAAAUUUAAUUACUGUUCAAAUUUAUUAUCCAACUUCCAUGGAGGAUUGCAAUUGAGAAAGAAAUUAAGGACCGAUAGAAACUAAAUACAAACUCUGGCUAUGAUUAAAAGAAUCCGCAUAAUGUAAAAAAAUAGAUAAAAAUCUCAUACCUGAAUAUAUCAAAAUUUAGGAAAUAAUUUAUAUUAAUAUUUAUUUUAAAAAUUAAAAUUUUUAGAUUUUAAUAAAAUUUAAUAUUUUAAAGAUAUAAAAUUAUUAUUAUUAUUAUUAUUAUUAACCCAUUCAUAUUCAACUUAUUCUCAAACUCUAAAAAAUAAUUAAUUAAAAUAAAAAAAUUAAAUAAUAUAAAAACUUUAAAAUUUACACGUAUAGCUACAACUGCAUUUAACCUCACUAAAAGCAUAUUCACAGAUGAUCCAAAGCUGCAAGGACAGUAGCAUAACAUGUGUUGUUUCAUAUUAGCAUUCCCAUUCUUAUUGUUUAGUCAUUUCAUUUCCCUGAAAAAAUCCGAUAAACACGCUGAUAUAGAACAAAAAAAAAAAAGAACGUUAAAUAAGUAAGGUAUUAAAUGGAAAUAGCGAGAGAUUCGAGAGAAACAAUGGCAAUGGCAAUGGCAUUUCCCAUAUAAAGAAAAGACAAAUUAUUUUAUAAAAUUUUGUUUAAAUUAUUUUCAAAUUAAGUGAAGAUUAAAUAAGUUAAAUAUGUAGAUUUUUUUAAAUUGAUUAAAUAAAUUAUUCUUUUAAGAUUUAGAUAAAUAGACUAAUUUUGAAAAAAAUGUGUGAAAGCGCAUUCAGCUGGACAAGUUUUCUAUUAACAUGUCAAGAAAAGCGUGCCCAACUAGAAGCGUUUUUUGAAAAUCCCGAGCUUUCCCUGACAUAUCAAUAGAAAGCGCGCCCAUCUAAACAUGUUUUCGCACACUUUCUCUCCAAAAUCGGCCCAUUUCCCUAAAUCUUGAAAAAAAAAAUUCUAUUUGACCAAUUAAAAAAAAAUCAGCAUAUAUUACCUAUUUAGCUUUAAGUGAGACUACGACACAUGCUAAAUGCUAAUAAUAAGGCGUGAGUUAUAAAAUUAUUAGACAAAACACGUUAGCGAAUAAAAUAAAUUAAUUAUAAAUGAACGCAUAUGAAAUAAAAUAUAAAUAAACACAUUUAGGCCUAAUCGGUCCAGACAUUUCGCAUCACCCACGUCAUGCGGGUGCGCCCCAAUCCUAUCGAGUUUGGACCUACACCCCCUACACGUAAGGUAAGGUUAUGUAACAAGUUUAGUUAUUCAAUUACUUUUUAAGAGAGUUCCCAUAUAUAAACACAUGUCACACUUGGUAUUUAACCAAUUUGGGAUCUAAGCUUUUACUUUUCCUCAACAAUAUUUCCAAGUAGCUUACUUUGAGCAUCAAUUUCUCAUUCAUCACUCAACCAUUUUGAGCAUAUGAUAUACCGUUGUAAAGGUCUCAUGAGUAGAAUAUGAAACCAUAAUUUUAUGAGUCAACUCUCCACUUUUACCUAUUGAUAAUAUGCCUCAAAGUUCCCAUAAAAGUAAUUUUUCCAACAAAAAUAUGAUCCACUUUUAUAUACAAUUUUUUUUGGUAGAAGAUAACAACAAACUACGAUUACAUCAAACAACACUUAAGCCCAUGAAGGGUUGUUACAAUUAGCUAACAACAACCCCUAAACAGAUAAUGACGGCUCAUCAAACACACAUAAACUCAUAAAUCUAAAAUUCGCACACUUAGCCAUAUAAUCUGCAACUUCAUUAUGCGCCCUUGGAAUAUGAUGAACAUGUGCCUUCCAAUUCCUACCUAAGAGACUGUAAUACCCCGAAAAUUUUUACAGUAAGUUAUUAUCCUUGAUAUAGUAAAAUAAAAAAAUAAAGUGACAAAAAGGAAAAUUUUGAGUUGUGUCAACCUUGGGAAGUAUAUUAUGAUAUAUUAAUUAAAAAAAUGACUAUAUUGUAAAGAUGAGAAAAGUCUUGUUACACAAGAGUAAAUACUCAAAAUUUGAGGGGUUAAAGUGUAAAUAUGAAAAAUUUAAAGGACCAAUAGUGAAAAUAUUUUAAGGGUGGAAUGAUCUAGAAACUAAGAAAAAUGGAUGAAUUAGGACCAAAUAAAAUAGGUGAAAAUUUAUGAGGGACUAAAUGACAAUUUUACCAAAUUAACUGAUGACUCAAGGAUGAAAUUCUAAAAGAUCAUGAAGGGCAAAAUGAUCAAUUAGUAAGAGAGAGAAUUCUAGAAUGUAAUGAUUAUGUUGAUAAUAUUUUAAAUUAAUGAAUUAGAUAAAUAUUAUUUUAUUAAUAUUUUGAUGAGAUAUUUAUUAUUAUUUUUUUAUUAUUUAUUUAGUAUAUAAGGAAGGAAAGAUGAAGAAUUAUCAUCAUCUUUCCAUGCAUGCAAACAUUAGAAGAGAAGAAAAGAAAGAAAGUUUUCUUUUCUUUACAAUUUAGUCCUUUCACCAAAAAUUUACUAUUUUCACCUAGAAAUCAAAAGAAUUUCCAUAACUACCAAGAGAGAAAAAUGUUAAGGAGACUAUAGGGAGUUAGAAUAUCAAAUUGGAUUCAAGGAAUAGAAGCUGGAGGAGAGAAAAAAUAAAGAUGAAGAUUAGAACAAGGUAAGAACAUCAUGAUAUCAAUAUAUUUUUAAGUUUGAUAUUAUUGAAAAAGCAUGGGAUUGAUGUUAAUGUAGAGUUUACUUACAUAUGUCCUAUGUUCUUAAUAUGUUAGUGAAGAGAAAACAAGAGAAAGUGAUGAGAAAUAGUGUAGAGAAAUAAAGUAAGGGUGUUAUAAACAUUGUAAUUAAUAUUUUGCAUUAAAACAGUUUUGGACAGCAACAGUGGUCUAACUUUGAAAAAUCACAAAAAAUUGAGGAAAUUGAAUUAGAAGUUGAAUAAAAUAUGAAAUUAAAUUUUAAUAAGUCUAGUUUUUCAUAGAAGAAAUAUUGUAAGCAAUGAAAUAGUAAAUUGUGAGAUAUAACAAAUUUAGUUAGACAAUGUCAGAUUGAUUUCGAGUUCCCCUGUUCUGACUUUGGAAAAUCAUCAAAAAUUGGAUAAAAAUAAUUAUUGGCUUAAAUUGAUAUGUUUAGAAUCAUGAAUGAGUAUAUUUUCAAGAGAAACAAAUGGAAACAUCAUUUGGAUCCUGUACAAGGAGAUAAUUAAUUUUUAGUGAAGAAGGGUCAGAACUGUCAGAUAGCAGAACAAAUGUGAAUUUAAAGAAUAAACUGUACUUAUUGGCUAAAUCAAAAAUUCUGAAAAUUUUAUGGUAAGAAUAUAUGUAAGUCUAGUUUCAGGUAAAAUUAUUAUAUCUUAAUUUCUAGUUCUGUAGCUCAAGAUAUAAAUAAUUUAGUGACUAUGACUCAAAUGGACAGUUUUGAACAUACAUAUAAGUAAAUAGUAAAAUUAUUGAUAAUGUUAUUUAUAGCAAGUUAUGUAAAUUAAGGAUGUGGAAUGGAGAGGAGGAGGAGGAAAAUAUGUAUGAAUAUUCAUCUAGCAUGGCUAAUUUGCAUGUUUUAGGUUCAUGGACUAAAUUGAAUAAGAGUAAAACUUUAGGGGCAAUUUUGUAAAAAUGUCAAAAAAGAACCAAAUUGAAGAAAAUGAAUUGUUUUAGCGUUUAAAUUAAUAAAUUGAAUGAAAUUAUUAAUUUAGAUCAAGAUCGGGUGAAAAAUCGGGAAAAAUAAAAAAUUACCAAAAUGCCCUUGAAUCUUGAUAUUUCUGUAAUUUAACCAAGUAAGCUCAUAUAACUUAAUUAAGUAUGAAAAUGUAUUGAUUUGAUUAUUGACUUGUAAGAAUUAUGAUAUGUAAAUGACAUGAAUAUGUAGCAUGAAAUGUUAACAUAUGACAUAUGUGAUUGAUAAAAAGGGUACAAGAAUCCGUUCGAAUAUUGAAUUCCGAUUGGACAAGUGAUUACCCUUAUAAAUGAGGUCUUGCAUGUGUUACAGUAAAGGUUAUUCCGAAAGGAGUAAUCUUAUGAUCUCAUUAUGAAAAGGAAUUUCACCUGAAAGGGUGACACUUGAAAAGGAUACAUGUACCUAAAAGGUA
This 57193-nucleotide long non-coding RNA is filed under the name Gossypium barbadense (sea-island cotton). Its description in RNAcentral is "long non-coding RNA (GBAR_LNC010124)". Lineage: Eukaryota; Viridiplantae; Streptophyta; Magnoliopsida; Malvales; Malvaceae. The record is from RNAcentral.